This 64640-nucleotide long non-coding RNA is filed under the name Triticum aestivum (bread wheat). RNAcentral describes it as "long non-coding RNA (TAES_LNC012480)". The record is from RNAcentral. Lineage: Eukaryota; Viridiplantae; Streptophyta; Magnoliopsida; Poales; Poaceae.
UUUUUUUUCGUAUAUAGGAGUAACAUGUUAUAUUUUGAGUUUGUGUUUUUUUCUCAGGUUUUUUUUUCAUAUAUAACAUGUUAUAUUUUGAGUUAGUGUUUGAAAGAUACAUAUUUUGAAGACCAUUUCAUAUAUAACAUGUUACAUUUUGAAUUAGUGUUUGAAAGAUAAAUAUUUUGAAGACCAUUUUAAUCUGUCGGGAAAUAGAAACAAAAAAGUCUAUCAGAAAAAAGAAACAGAAAAAGAUGAAAAAAGAGUAACAUCUUAUAUUUUGAGUUUGUGUUUUUUUCUCAGGUUUUUUUUCAUAUAUAACAUGUUAUAUUUUGAGUUAGUGUUUGAAAGAUACAUAUUUUGAAGACCAUUUCAUAUAUAAAAUGUUACAUUUUGAGUUAGUGUUUGAAAGAUAAAUAUUUUGAAGACCAUUUUAAUCUGUCAGGAAAUAGAAACAAAAAAAGUCUAUCAGAAAAAAGAAACAAAAAAAGAUGAAAAAAGAUGAGGGAGCUGGGUCUCGAACCCACGUCUCGCAGAUACAAGACCGACGCUCCAGCCAACGCACUACUUAAAUCCUUCUGUACCCUAGGGACACCGCUUUUACAUAAACCAUGGUCUAGCACCACGAAAAAAACUGAAUCGCUUUCCCUCACUUAUAGGUGGCAUUUGUGGGUAAUAUUUAGCAACUUUAGGGGAAAAUUAGGUGACGUACCACCAGAAACAAUAGAUGCUUUAUUAUUAGGGGAGAUAAAUAUGUUGGAGACGUAUCAGCAUCCUCAAGCUUAAUUCAUGCUAACCCUCGAGUAGGUAAAUGAUAAAAUAAAUAAUUUAUGAAGUGUGAAUGCCAGCAUAGUGCAUAAAUUUGAUCAAUGAUAGUUCCAAACACUUUUUCUAGCAUCAUUAUAUAUCAUAAAUAGUAGCUCAUCUCAUGAAAUUUCUCAUGAUCAAGUAACAACUAUUGACAUGUUAAAGCAUGGACCAAAAACUUUCUUGAAAACAAACAAACUAUGUUCUCAGUCAUCAAAAAAUUGCAGUUCAUCUUAUAUUUAGGAAAGGUCUAUGUAAGAGCUUUGAUUUAGCAAAUUCCACAUACUCAACUAUCAUAAUGUCUUCCAUGAUUGCUGACACUCAAAGCAUAUUUUUAGAACAAAUAGCAUCCAUCGAACAUAGAGAAAGAUAGGGGCUUAAUGUUUCGCCUCCCAGCUUAUUUAUCAUAUAGAUAAUUGUCAACAAUAAUAGUUCAUGAUCAAAUAUAUUUGAAUGGCCAUAUAUGCUUGGAUCUUUCCCACCACAUGAUACUUGCCAACUAGAGAAUAAUUGGGGUUGAAAUGAGAAGGAAUACUACUAACUCUUGCAUAAAAGUAAAAGAUAGGCCCUUCGCAGAGGGAAGCAGGGAUUUGGAGAGGUGCCAGAGCUCGAAGCUUUUAAAAUAAAGAUGAAUAAAAUUUUGAGAGGUAUGCUUUCAUUGUUAACAUAACGACCGAGAGUUCCCAAUAUCUUCCAUGCUAGACAAAUUUUUAACACCUUGGAUUUUGCCCUUUUCUUUUUUUGAUGAUUUUCUUGGAUUUCUUGUUUUGAAUUGUUUUUCCGUGGCUAUGUGGUUCUGAAACUUGGGAAGAUCAUGUCUUCCUAGGUUUUAUGGUAGCUUGUCAUCCUCAUCAUCAUCCCAGGAUCAUGUUAUUUUCAUCCUAGCCCAAGUCUCAAUAUUCUUUUGUUGGGAAUAUUCCUUUUCUAUUAAAGGAAUAACCCUAUUUGCCCUAGGUUAUGAAGCAGCCCACCUUUCUGCCACUCUAAAAAUUCCCAAAUAAUUCUCAUAAAUUGUUUGGGUCAUAUCUUCCUCAAAUAUGGCAAAACUUUUCAUUGCCAUGUUCAAAAAUAAUCCUCAAAUAAUUCCUUUACUAUUCUGCACUAAAUGGCACUGUGUGAAAGAAGUGCUAUUUAUCUUUUCUUGAUUGACCCCAAACUUUUUGGACAUCUUUUCCUGUCCAUGUCAUUGCCUCUUGCCAAAAUUCAACUCAAUUUGCCUAGUAUAUGUUCCUGAGCAAUUUUCAAAGUUCCUGUCUGAGAGAAGCCUUUGUGAAGGAAGUACUAGCUAGGGUAAUCCAAAUGAGUUGAAAUUUUGCAAGCUCCUUCAUUUGAUAAAAUCAUGUCUCUCCACCAAAUUUGAGCUCAUGUAACCCAUCCAUGUGAGCCCCAGCUUCAAAUCUUGGUUUUCGGUUAGAUUUAUAAUUUGUGAAGCAACCAUAUUUUAUAUUGCUUCAUUUAAGCUGAAAAUUUACCAGGGCAUUCUCUUAUCCCUAUCAACUAUCUCCACCAAGUUUUGGCUCAAUUCAUCAAACCAUUUGCCCUGUGGAAUUUUUCCAAGUUUCUGUCCAGGAUAAAGCUCUGUGAAAUACCACAUCUCCUCCGAAUUUCAGCUCAUGACAAUCAUGUAUAUGAGUGCAACUUCAAAAUUCCCAAAUCUAACCAGUAGGGCCCUUUCCACGGCAACUACCCUCUAAACUUCUCCUCUUAAGCUGAUUUUUGGUGAUCAACAUCAUCUUAGUAUGUGAUCAUCACCAGACAAAUCCCUUCUUUCGUUCCCAAGCUGGUGUCCCCACUGCACAACACAAACACUUGGCUGUUGGUCUAAUUUGGGGCCAUCUGCAUUUCUCUUCUUUGCCCUUGAGUUCAUUUCUUUCUUCAUUUAUACUCAAGGCACUAAGGUCUAUCUACUAGGCAUGGUCGGUCUGGCCAAAAUGAGCUAUUUGCACCAGUGCACGCGGUGAUCAUGCUUGUGUCUUUGCAAACUCGCGAUCUGGCUCGUUCUGGCCGUUGUUCGCGUCGUUUCCCUCCGCGUCUCGACCUCAAACCUUGUCCAGGAGCUAGCCCGUGCUCGUCUGCACCGCCCUGCAUCGCUGCCCCUCCUUAUCUCUGUAGCGACCAGAGCUCAAACGGUCAAGUCUUUAUGCAUCAAUGUCAUCCCUAGAUUGGUAAUGCUGACACACACAGUACUCUAGGAAUUAUAACAGAGUUUCAAUCACACACUUAUUACAUCGAGUCCUCAUAAAGAGUAUGAUUACACAAAAAUAUCAUGGCUGAAGGCCAUCUAAACUAAAUAACUGUGGAAGCUUCAAAGGUAAAUGAGUCCAUCAACUCCAACGGCAUAGCUGAGUGCAAAACAACGACCUAUCGCACCUUAUUCAUUGUCUAAGUAGUCUGCAACAUGAGACGUUGCAGCCAUGUUAGUCAGCACAUUGAAUAUGCUGGCAGAGUUACACUUUAAAGCAAUGAAAUGCAAGAACUAUAUCUACAUGCAAUAUUUGGCUGGUGGAGGCUGUAAGUUUAUGAUUUUUGCAUAAAGCUAGUUUUUUCCUACAACAAAGGAAUAAAUUUAUCUAACUACCCCCAAGUUGCCCAAUAUUUGAGAAGGUAACCCCAACUCAAAUCCCAAUUAAAAGUAUCAUCAUUAACCCAACAAUUUAAUUAAAGUAACGUGAUGAGAUCACAUCAAUAGAUUCAAGUACUAGAUACUCAAAUUGUCCAUAACCAGGGACACGGCUAACCAUGAUUAGUUUAUACACUCUGUAGAGGGUUUGCGCACUUUUCCCCACAAGACUCGACCGCAUCCAUGAUCGGAUGAUCGAGACAAAGUCUUUCUCAAGCAUUAACUCUCUACUCUGGGUGGACCAGUACACCUACUUUCCCCUACAUCUGCUAGUCCACCUCUUCAAGAGCUCAUGCAACUUACUCAACUAUGCCAGAGCCCAUAAUGGCUUGUGGCUGCACACGGAAGUUUCUAGCAUGAAUAAUCUUAUGAUCCCUUUAAGCCUGGGUGGCGAACCGUAGGAAAAAUCACACGGGUACUCCAGGAUUUCCUGAAACAGGUAACACUGGGUUCCCCAGGUGCCUCAACCAACGCACCAAGAUGUAUAUUAAAGUUGCCACCUUAAUGUUAUCCAUGAUUAAAUAACUCUCAAACUUCCAUGUGUGAAUCACUACCCAAUCCCCGUCUAUGAGCAUGGCUAAGCAAUAAUGAGCAUAACGUAUAUUCCCGGGGUGUUCAAAAGGUAUUAGGUUCCUACCUCAAGCACUACAACAAAAACCACAUGUUCCCAAUCCUACUCAUGCAAAUAUUUGAGGGGCGGAACUAAUGCGUAGUAAAAACUGGGUAUAAAAGAGUAUGAUCAAAGUGUAACUUGCCUUGCUGACAAUCUACAAACUCUAGAGAUUCGUAGUAACAAGCUUCACACUCCGGGUGAUCUAGCGUAGACAAACAGUAGCAUACAUGAGAUAUCACUCAAACGAAACAUCAAGAAAACCGAGAAAAGCUCCAAAUCAAACAUGAACCAAACAAAUGGCUUAAACUAACAAAAGUCAAACCUAACAGCAAUAUUAUCAUGUGAAUUAGAUCUUAACAAUAGGUACAUGAGAUUAGCUACGAUUGGCAAAAAGAUUCAACUCAAACGGAGCAACGAAACUCAAAAUACGAACGAAACAAGAUCAUUUACUAAUCUGGACUAAACUCAAAUAUUACAGUACCCAAAUCAUGUUCAAGUUGGUUAACUGGAAAGAACAGAAUGAUACGAAGAUUUAGGCGCUAGUUUCAACUAAUUUGGAUAAACGAGUAAAAAGUUAUGCUAGUUUAAAGUUAAGGGGCUAAGUCACGAUAAAAUUAUUCGCAGAUAGGUCCCUGGCCGAAAAUAAAACUAAAAAGAAAAACCUACGGCGCGAACAUUCGCUAAUAGAACAAAUCUAACGAGUACUGUUCAUUAAAAUGAACGAACGAACGUUCGUUAAAUAAAUAAAACCGAUCUAAACUACACCAAAAAAACCGAGAUCGAACCGAGCGGUUUUAUACCGUUAGCCGAGUCGGUUCAACGGCGAGAUCCGGCGACGGCGAUGGCGUGGGGCGGCAGCUACACGGCGGCGGCGGGCAUCGGCGGCAGCGGCAGCAGGCGGCGGCGGCGGCGUGACUCGGUGGCGGUGCGGCAACGGCGAGACGAUGAGGAGGCGGCGGCCUCGGGGCGGCUUUUAAAGCCCCCCCCCUGAGUUCUCCGACUUGGAGAGGGGGUCGGCGAGGCGGUGGCGAGUCGGACUCCUCCGGGAGUCCGGCGACUCCACGGCGGGCGACGCGGGCGAGGUGGGCUUGGCCCGGCUCGGCUCGGGCCGGCCCAGAACUUUUUUUAAAUAAUUUCACCGCAAGGAAAAAUCCUUAAUAAAUAUAAAAAAUGCUAAAAAUUCCAGAAACAAUUUUCACUGUCCAAACCUAAAAUUUAGGACAAGAUGAUCAUUUUUAUGGACUAAGAUGCAAUUUUCAAAAAUGCAACAUUUUUCUAAUUCAAAUAAAAUAACAAUAAAAUUAUAAUUUUGAUUUUAAAAUUCUUUCUCCAAUAUUUCUCUUAGGUUGAAUAAGUCAUAUUAUCUUCUCUCUUAUAUUUUUAAUAUCGGAAAUAAUUGGAGAGAAAAAUAAUAAAAAUCAAAUUGAUCCUUUCUUCAAAUUUGAAUUAAAUUCAAAUAUGAUUUUUGUGAAACCUCCAACUCUCUCCUUGGGUCCUUGAGUUGCUUAAGAUUUCUAGUAUCACAACAGAAUGCAAAAACAAAUAUGAUAUGCAUAUGAUGAUCUAUGUAUAACAUCCAAAUUGAAAAUUAGGAUGUUACAAACCUACCCCCCUUAAGAUCAAUCUCGCCCUCGAGAUUCGGGUUGGUCAGCAAAAAGGUUUGGGUGGUCUCUACGGAGAUCUUCUUCUCGCUCCCAGGUGGCUUCCUCCUCGGUAUGGUGGCUCCACUGAACUUUGCAAAACUUCAUAACCUAGCUGCGAGUAACUCGACUAGGAAACUCGAGAAUCUUGACUGGCUUCUUUUCAUAGGUAAAAUCACUAUCUAACUGAAUUGCUUCCAGUGGCACUGUAUCUCUCAAAGGAAUAUCAGCCAUCUCUGCAUUGGCACUUCUUCAACUGGGAAACGUGAAAAACAUCAUGAACUCCUGACAAUCCUUCUGGCAAUUCCAGCUUGUAUGCGACUUCUCCCAUGCGUUCCAAGACCCUGUAUGGUCCCAGAAAACAUGUUGCUAGCUUUCCCUUGACUCCAAAAUGCUUAAAUCCUCGAGUUGGGGACACCUGAAGAUAUGCUCUGUCUCCGACUUCGUAAACUAUCUCCUUGCGUUUAAUAUCCGCAUAACUCUUCUGGCUGGACUGGGCUACCUUGAGUCUGUCAUGAAUCAACUUAACCUUCUCUUUCGAGUCUUUGAGUAAGUCUGGUCCGAACAACUGUCGGUCUCCAACUUCAUCCCACGAUAAUGGUGUCCUGCAUCUCCUUCCGUACAAAGCUUCGAAAGGGGGCAUCUUCAAACUGGCUUGAUAACUGUUGUUAUAAGAGAACUCUGCAUAUGGAAAAUUGCCAUCCCAACUAGAUCCAUAAUCUAGUGCACAAGCUCUCAACAUGUCCUCCAGAAUCUGGUUGACUCGCUCGGUUUGUCCAUCUGUCUAUGGAUGAAAGGUUGUACUGAACUCUAGCUUGGUACCCAAAGUUUCACGCAACUGAUUCCAAAACUUUGAAGUAAACUGGGUUCCUCUAUCUGAUAGAAUGGUCCUCAGAGCUGCAUGCAGACAUACGAUCCUGGUAAUGUAUAUCUUUGCCAACUUAGCACUCGUAUAGGUGGUCUUCACCGGGAUGAAAUGGGCUACUUUCGUCAAACGAUCGACUAUAACCCAGAUAGAGUCAUAGCCUGAACGAGUCCUGGGUAAUCCAGUGAUAAAAUCCAUGCCAAGGUUAUCCCACUUCCAUUCGGGUAUCGGCAAUGGCUGUAGCAAUCUAGCUAGCUUCUGAUGCUCUGCCUUGACUCUUUGACAUACAUCACAUACUGCUACAUACUCGGCAAUAUCCUUCUUCAUUCCUGUCCACCAGAAACUUUCCUUCAAGUCCACAUACAUCUUAGUGUUUCCUAGGUGAAUCGAGUAUGGUGAAUCAUGGGCCUCCUGCAGAAUCAACUUCCUGAUCUCCGGGUCAUUAGGCACAUAUAUGCGAUCCUCAAACAAUAAGGUGCCGUGCUCAUCCUCACGAAAUCCUUUAGCCUUUCCUUUGUUCAUCCUUUACUUUAUUUCUGCAAUCUCCUUGUCAGUCUUCUGGGCUUCUCUGAUCUUACCCAAAAGAGUGAACUGAAUUUCCAAUGCUGCGACAUAACCUCUCGGAACUAUCUCCAAGCAUAGCUCUCGAAGAUUCUCUGCUAACACCUUUGGUAAUCCUCCGGUUAUGAGCGUGUUAACAUAACUCUUGCGGCUCAAUGCAUCUUCUACCACAUUGGCCUUUCCGGGAUGAUAGUGCAAUUUCAUAUUAUAAUCCUUUAUGAGCUCCAACCAUCUCCUUUGCCUGAGCUCCAACUCCUUCUGCAUGAAGAUGUACUUCAAACUCUUAUGAUCUGUGUAUACAUCACAAUGGUUUCCGAUGAGAAAUUGUCUCCAUGUCUUCAGCGCAUGCACUAUGGCUGCUAACUCCAAAUCAAGCGUAGCAUAAUUUAGCUCAUGAAGUUUAAGCUGUCGUGAGGCAUAUGAAACAACUCUUCCUUCCUGCAUAAGUAUAGCUCCAAGUCCUCGACGGGAAGCGUCGCAAUAUACUUGGUAAUCCUUAGGUUGGUCUGGGAGAAUCAGCACUGGGGCUGUAACCAAACGUUUCUUCAACUCCUGAAAACUGGCUUCAGACUCCUCAGUCCAUUUAAACUUGGUGUCCUUCUUCAAUAACUCCAUCAUGGGCUUUGCAAUCUUGGAGAAAUUCUCAAUAAACCUCCGAUAAUAGCCUGCAAGUCCAAGAAAACUUAUGAUUGCUCCAACUGUUGUGGGUGCCACCCACUUAGUAACAGAAGCAACCUUGGUAGGUUCUACUGCUAUUCCUUCUCUGGAUAUAACAUGUUUGAGAAAUCCAACUUCCUUUAAUCAAAACUCACAUUUGCUGAACUUGGCACACAACUGAUGUUCCCUGAGCUUCUCAAGAACCAAACACAAAUGCUCCUUAUGCUCCUCUUCAUUCUUUGAGUAGACCAAUAUAUCAUCAAUGAACACCACGACAAACUUAUCCAAAAACUCCAUAAACACCUUGUUCAUCAUAUUCAUGAAAUAGGCAGGCGCGUUAGUCAGACCAAAUGACAUAACGGUAUACUCAUAUAGCCUGUUCCUUGUGGUAAAAGCUGUCUUAGAUAUAUCCUGCUCUCGGAUCUUCAAUUGGUGAUAACCUGAUCGAAGAUCGAUCUUAGAGAAAACUUUAGCUCCUUGCAACUGGUCAAACAAAUAUUGAUCAUCAUCAGAGGGUAUUUGUUCUUGAUCGUCACCUCAUUUAGCACACGGUAAUCAACUACCAUCCUCAAAGAUCCAUCCUUCUUCUCCACUAGAAGCACUAGGGCUCCCCAAGGUGAUGAACUUGGUAUAAUGUAACCUUUCUCCAGUAACUCCUUUAUAUGUGUCUUAAUUUCCUCCAGAUCCUGUGCGGGCAUCCACUACGGUCUCUUUAAUAUUGGUCGGUGAUGGCAAUAACUCAAUCAAAAACUCAAUGUCUCAAUCUGGUGGCAUGCCUGAUAAGUCCUCCAGAAAUACGUCGGGGUAAUCCUUCACCAUUGGUACUUCCUCCUGUACAACUCCUGAUAAGGAAUUCACCUGAGUCCUGCUUGGUGCAUGCCGGGAUACAUACUUGAUCCUCUUUCCUUCUGGGAUGGUGAGAAGAAUUGAUUUACUCGUGCAAUCGAUGUUCCCUUCAAACUUGGAUAGCCAAUCCAUUCCCAGUAUCACACCCAAUCCUUAUGACUCUAGAACAAUUAGGUCGGUGGGGAAAACAUGUCUACCUAUGGUUAGUGGCAACUGAUAGCAUCCCCUACUAGCCAUAUACUCCGCUCCUGGGGAACUUACUAAAAUAGGUGAUUUAAGGGCUACGGUUGGCAGAUUAUACUUAUCCAAAAAUCCCCUUGAUAUGUAUGAAUACGAUACACCAUUAUCGAAAAGAACAAGUGCGGUAAAUGCAUUUACCGACAACUGCGUCGGGUUGCUCCUCAAUCUCCUCCACGUUGAUGCAGUUCACCUGACCUUUGGUGAAGGGGUUGGGCUUCUUGGCAGAACCUCCAUUUCCAUCCAUUCUUAGCUUCAGGACAUUCAAUGGCAUAAUGUCUGGUCUUCUGGCACUUGAAAUAGGUAAUGUGGCUCAGAUCCCUCUUGACUGGUGUUGCAGGGUUGGGACGGUUCUGUCUACUGCUUCCUCCAUUUCCAUUGCCAUUCUUGGGGCCACUACGGUUGUGCGAACUUGCUCCAUUGUGCGUAUGUCCUCCAUGGUUGUGGCCUCCAUGGUUGUGGUUAUGUCCUCCCGAGUACGGGGAAUAGCGGGGACUCAAAUGUCCAUAACCGGGGACACGGCUAACCAUGAUUAGUUUAUACACUCUGCAGAGGUUUGCGCACUUUUCCCCACAAGACUCGACCGCAUCCAUGAUCGGACGAUCGAGACAUAGUCUUUCUGAAGCAUUAACUCACUACUCCGGGCGGACCGGUACAGCUACUUUCCCCUACAUCUGCUAGUCCACCUCUUCAAGAGCUCACGCAACUUACUCAACUAUGCCAGAGCCCAUAAUGGCUUGUGGCUGCACACGGAAGUUUCUAGCAUGAAUAAUCUUAUGCUUCCUUUGAGCCUGGGUGGCGAUCCAUAGGAAAAAUCACACGGGUACUCCGGGAUUUCUUGAAACAGGCAACACUGUGUUCCCCAGGUGAUGUGACGGCAGCCCGAUCUUUCAAUGAGAGUGGGGAUAAAUAUCGAUUUGGUGGAUUUUGACCUUGACGAUCCGGCUAUACCGUACCCGACGAUACGCCUCGACAAUCGCUAAACCAAUCUCCGAUGGUUAUUGACCUUGCCGUAGGCACGAUCAACCUUAACAACGAGGUUCGAGUUCCUGCAAGCAACCGAAGAACCGGCAAGAACAAAGGUGAAUUGCAACUGAAAUUGUGGAUAAAAAACUGAGCACACGAACUAGAUGAAAAGUUGGGGUUCCCCUGUGGAUCUGACAAGGCGGUAGUCCUACACGUCUCGUAGAUGUGAAUUGUAGCGAUGGCUAGACAAUACAAUAAAACCUGAGUCUAAACCUAGAUGAAUGCUAACUAUUUAUUAAGUCCGUACGUCUGCCGCCUAGGAGCUGCGCGUUGACGUGUCCAACACUGCUACGAUUUGAAGGAAAUAAUCUCAUCAGGCUGGCCCACAUGUAGAUAGAAUAUUGUAUGGUUUCCUUCUUUAUUUGAUGAUGUGGCUUGUGUGUACGUGGCCUCCUCCUUCUCUCCUUUUGCAUGUACGUAGCAUGGAGCAUGGAUGGUCCAAUUGGUUCUUGCAUGCAAUAGUGCUCCUGCUGGUGUAGUCAACAUGAAACAUUUUCCAUCUCCUAGCUUCAUAUUACUUUCUCUCGUCAGAUCUUCAACACCUUCGUUUCUAAGUACAAGUAAAUCGAAACAUGAGUGUAAUGUCAUAUUCUUGUCAGUUAAAUUAUGUGUACAAAGGAGCGAUAGUACCUGGCCAUUAAUUUGUCUCGCUCGUGCUCUAGUAAUAGGACCAAGUGGAAUAACUGAUGUAGGAGUCACAGCGGGCAUAACAGUAGAAGAGAUGUUCUCAUCAUCCCCCCCCCCUUCUUGAAUUGAAGUCGUCCUCGAUGGUAUCUCAUCGUCCUCACGAAAAUAAGGCUUUAAAUCUGCAAUGUUAAAUGUGGGACUAACCCGAAAUUCUGCAGGCAAAUCAAGCUUAUAUGCAUUCUCGUUAAUUUUUUCAAGCACUUUAAAAGGUCCAUCUGCACGAGGCAUUAACUUUGACUUUCUUAAAUCAGGGAAGCGGUCUUUGCGCAAAUGUAACCAUACUAAAUCACCUGGUUCAAACACAAUAUUGUUUCUACCCUGACUACCAGCAAGUUUAUACUUGGCAUUCAUGCGUUGAAUAUUUUUCUUAGUCAUCUCAUGCAUUUUUAACACUAACUCAGCACGUUCUUUAGCAUCAUGGUUUACCUUCUCCGAAGAUGGAAUAGGUAAUAAAUCAAUAGGCGCACGAGGUAUGAAUCCAUAAAAAAUCUCAAAAGGGCAUUACUUUGUGGUAUAAUGAACUGAACGUUUAUAAGCAAACUCUACAUGAGGUAGACAUUCUUCCCACAUUUUUAAGUUCCUUUUCAAAACAGCCCUAAGCAUAGUGGACAAUGUUCGAUUAACCACUUCAGUUUGACCAUCUGUUUGAGGAUGACACAUAGUAUUAAAUAAAAGCUUAGUCCCCAGUUUUGUCCACAACACCCUCCAAAAGUGGCUAAGAAACGUGUCACGAUCAGAAACAAUUGUAUUUGGCACACCAUGUAAACGAACUACUUCUCUAAAGAACAGAUCAGCAAUGUGAGUAGCAUUGUCACUUUUAUGACAAGGUAUAAAAUGUGCCAUCUUAGAGAAUCGAUCAACAACCACAAAUAUACUAUCCCGCCCCCCUCGUGUCCUAGGCAGUCCUAAUACAAAGUCCAUAGAUAUAUCUUCCCAAGGAGUGCUAGGAACAGGAAGAGGCAUGUAUAAACCAUGUGGGUUCAAUCGUGACUUAGCUUUUUGGCAUGUCGUGCAGCGUGCAACAUAUCUCUCCACAUCCCUUCUCAUUUUUGGCUAGAAGAAAUGACCAGCAAGUAUGUCUUCUGUCUUUUUGACACCGAAAUGUCCCAUAAGUCCUCCGCCAUGUGCCUCCUGUAACAACAAAAGACGAACAGAGCUAUCUGGGAUGCAUAGCUUAUUAGCACGAAAAACAAAUCCGUCAAUAACGACUAACUUGUUCCAAGUUCUACCCUCUCCGCAAUUGAGCAAAAUAUCUUUAAAAUCGACAUCAUUAGCAUAUUGCUCUUUUAUAGUUUCAAGUCCAAAAAUGUUGUCAAGUUGUGAUAACAUGGUAUAGCGCCUAGACAAUGCAUCGGCAAUAACAUUCUCCUUCCCUUUCUUGUGCUUAAUAACAUGUGGAAAAGAUUCAAUAAAUUCAACCCAUUUUGCCUGUCUACGGUUUAGUUUGCUUUGACUUCUAAUAUGCUUGAGUGAUUCAUGAUCAGAAUGUAUGAAAAACUCCUUAGGCCAUAAAUAAUGUUGCCAUGUCUCCAAAGUCUGAACUAGCGCAUAAAGUUCUUUAUCAUAUGUUGUAUAAUUCAGACUAGGCCCACCGAGUUUUUCACUAAAGUAUGCUACUGGUUUGCCUUCUUGCAAUAAAACACCGCCUAAACCAAUGCCGCUAGCAUCACAUUCCAAUUCAAACAUCUUAUUAAAAUCAGGUAAUUGCAGCAAAGGGGCGUGUGUAAGCUUAUCUUUAAGAAUAGUGAAGGCUUCCUCUUGUGCGUCGCUCCAAACAAAUGGCACAUUGUUCUUUCUGAGCUCGUUGACCGGCGUUGCGAUGGUACUAAAAUCCUUCACAAACCGCCGGUAUAACUCAGCAAGCCCGAGAAAACUUCGUACCUGUGUGACCUAGUUAGGGGUCGGCCAACUCUGGAUCGCUUCAACCUUGGCUUUAUCAACUUCAAUUCCCUGUGCCAUCAAAACAUAGCCAAGAAAAGCAACUCGAUCCAUGCAAAAAGUGCACUUCUCGAUAUUACAAAUAAACGUGCAUCACGCAGAGCAGAAAAAAUAGCACGCAAAUGGUCUAAGUGUUCCUCUAUUGACUUACUAUAAAUCAGAAUAUCAUCGAAGUAUACUACCACAAAUCGUCCAAUGAUAGCUCGCAAAACUUCAUUCAUUAGUCUCAUGAAAGUACUAGGUGCAUUAGUCAAUCCAAAAGGCAUAACUAACCACUCAUAUAAACCAAAUUUAGUUUUGAAAGCAGUUUUCCAUUCAUCGCCUAGUUUCAUACGAAUUUGAUGGUAGCCACUACGCAAGUCCACUUUAGAAAACACAACUGAGCCACUGAGUUCAUCAAGCAUGUCACCUAAUCUAGGAAUAGGAUGACGAUAUCGAAUUGUAAUAUUAUUGAUGGCUCUACAAUCAACACACAUACGCUAAGUACCGUCUUUUUUACGAACAAGUAAAAUUGGUACAGCACAUGGACUAAGGGAUUCACGAAUGUAACCUUUUUCAAGUAGUUCUUGAACUUGUCGCUGAAUCUCCUUAGUCUCCUCUUGGAUUAGUCCGGUACGGCGCACGGUAGGGUAAUGAGGCGCCAGGUAUCAAGUCAAUUUGAUGUUCAAUACCUCUCAUAGGUGGCAGCCCCGGUGGUACUUCCUUUGGGAAAACAUCAUGAUACUCCUGCAAAAGGUUAGCGACAACAGGAGGCAAAGAAGAAGGCAUAUCCUCAAAUGAAAACAAAACUUCUUUGCAAAUAAGAGCAUAACAUUCAUUAGUAUGAGCAUCUAACUCAAAAAUUUCAGCACGUGUAGCUAAGAAAGAAGCACCUUUCAAUUUAAUUUCUUUAGAUGUGCUAGGAUCAGAUUUGUGCAUCUUAUUAAAUUGUUCUAACUCAUCAACAACUUUCUGAUUUUCAGAUUUAGUACGCUCAAUAUUUGUGUUUCUACUUCCCCUAGCAAGGUCAUCUUUUAAAAUUUGCUCAGGAGACAUAGGGUGUAGAAUGAUUUUCUUUCCUUUAUGUGUGAGAGUGUACUGAUUAGUUCUACCAUCAUGUAAACAUUGUUUAUCAUAUUGCCAUGGCCUUCCUAGUAACAUAGAACAAGCUUGCAUAGGCACAAUAUCGCAAUCAAUAGUGUCAUGGUAUGAACCUAAAGAAAAAGGAACUCUCACCAUGCAUGUACCUUUACCUCUCCACCAUCAUUAAACCAUUGAAUGUAGUAAGGUUGUGGAUGUUGUCACGAAAGGUAGGGAGAGCUUCUCCACCAUGUCAAUGCUUGCUAAAUUGUUACAACUCCCUCCAUCAAUGAUUAUGCGAACGGAACACUCCUCGACAACUCCUUUGAUGUGGAAGAGGUUGUGACGCUGACCCUUCUUUGCUUUGACAAUCUGAGCACUAAGUACACGAUGUGAUAUAAGACUCAUGUACUUAUCAGCGUCGGCGGCGGUCACAUGUUCUUCCACUUGCGCCGGGCUUGUGACAUCGUCUUCAUGUGCAGAAAGCAAGGCAUAUGUGUCUUCAUCAAAAUCACUAGCGGAAUCAUACUCGCCGUCUUCACGAAUGAUCAAUACACGCUUAUUACACUCCUUCAUGACAUGGCCAAAUCCCUUACAAGUGUGGCACUGGAUAUCCUUUGUUCUUUUCGAGGAAGCAGAUGAGGAUGACGAACUUUUUGUUGGAAUUGGUGUAGUAAUUUUCAGUGGUGCCAAAGUGUGUGAUGCUGAAGUUGAUGAAGUAGGCCCCGAUCGAGAGGUGGCAGGUGAUGUCGUGGAGGUGCGAGCGGACGGGGCAGCAGGGGUCAGCGUCAUAAAUUGGUCAUGAAGUGCAGGAUCUAAAUCUGAGCACUAAGCCCAUGUAGAGGUACGACCUGCAGAAAAAUGAGAACGCAUUCUCGAGCGACCCUGCACUUCAUGUUCAGCAUGUAUAGCAAGAUGGAAUAAAUGGGUCAUUGAAUGAUAAUCCUUAUAAGCAAGUAUGUCAUAAAUUUCUCUAUUCAAUCCACCCAAGAACCUAGCCAUAGAGGCUUCAUCGGUCUCAACUAAACCACAACGUAACAUGCCCAUUUGCAAUUCUUGAUAAUAGUCUUCCACAGAUUUAGAUCCUUGGUUCAACCGUUGUAGUUUAUUUAGCAAGUCACGUUCAUAAUAUCCAGGAACAAAACAGUGACACAUUACUAAUUUCAAAGCUUCCCAAGUGGCUGGAAUAUUAUUAGGAUGUUUACGACAAUAUUCUCUCCACCAAACAGAAGAAAAAUCACUAAACUCACUAGUUGCAGCCCUAACUCAUCAGGAAAAUCAUAGCAAGCAAAUUUUUGAUCAACUAGUAAUUCCCAGUCAAGAUAAACAUAUGGAUCAUAUUUCCCAUCAAAAGGAGGCAUGACAAAUUUAAUUUUACCUAACGAGUCGUCAUGGCCACGUACCUGAGGACGCUGGUGUCGUCCCAUACCUUGUUGAUUAUUGCGUAGUCGACAAUGAUCACGAUCAUUGUUAUCAUUAACUGCAUUAGGAUCCUCGGAAUCACCAUCAUAGUUGUCAUCUUGGAUGUCGUCGGCUAUCGAGUUGGCGUUGCAAGGACGGGGCUGGUCGACGGCAUCGGUGUAUGAAAGAGGGUGCCUCGGGUCUCCUGGGGGCACUCGACAAGCUCGUUGUAGACCUGUGUUGGUGGCUGGAAGACGCGGAGCGGCAGUGGAGGUAGCACCCAGACGGGCAUCCUGGGCAUCGAGACGUUUCAUAAUAGAUGCAAGCGUUUGAGUGAACGUCUCAUUGCUAUCCUCGAUCGACUUGAGACGCUUAUCAAGUGCGCCCUCAAAUGAUGUGAACCGCUCGAUGUAUGCAUGCACAUCCUCCUCAAGGCGUGCCACCGUGGCUUUCAUGUUGUCUUUGUCACCUGCCAUGGUUAGCAUGAAACAAGAACAAAAUCACAAGUAUAUUGCUCCUACAGUAACUACGGUGAGGCGGUGGAAAAUGUCUCUUAACUCUCGAGCAAUUACCAAGCUCUUACCAGUUCUUACCGUGUUGCAAUGGUUGUCGGCCAUUGGCGAUGUCAAAAGUUAUCAAAAGAUUGAUAUAGCGAUUACCAAGUGACCAAACUGGGUACAAUAUAGGAUGUGGAGCUUGGUGAAGGUUUUCUCAACUCACAAUAUGUGGCACAAUUAAGCAAAAAGUAAUGCAAGUUGAAUAAUUGUUCAAACUCCUAACUAGUUCUGGCAGUCGACUAGUAAGAGAUAAAACAAUCUAAGCCUAGAUACUGAAUCAAGUGAAGGGAAAUCGAUGAAAAUAAUAGCUCUAAGUAGCUAGAUAUAAGUGAGGUAUAAACGCCGUGUAUAAUAAAGCUCGAAAGCAGAUGAUAAAUGACUCGGCGAUGAACACUGUAGCAGCAAAAUAAUGUCCGGAAAAGAAAAAAUCAGCCUAAAACAGAUGCUAGCCGGCCUGAUUUUUUUUGCAACUUUUCUUUUAAAUUUUUUUCUUUUUUUUUGCUCUUUUUUUGCCGGUUGCUAGCAGAAUCACGGACAGACUUCAAGUCACAAGAGAUAAAUAAGAUGCAAGGCUACUGGACAAGGUGCAACGAGAGCUAGCUACAAGCACUUGAGUGUGGAGAUUAGCGUGGACUAGUACUAAUACACAGGUAGCCGGCGGAGAUUUUUGGGUGGCGCGUGGAGGCAGACAAAGAAAGUUGGAUGUCUAGUGGGUGGGAAUAGCUGCGCGGAGGGGCAGACACUGGGUGGCUGAUGUCUGGAAGGAUGCGCGAGACGAGGCUGCACGUACGCACGCGGAGGUUGACUAGUCUGGAAUAAGCUCAUGGAACAACACAUGUACGCGUAUAAAACAAUCCAACUUGCUUUUUGUUUUCAGAUUACGAACGAACUUGCGACAGAAAAUAUGAUGGACAAAAACAAGUGCGAUCUAGUAGACAAUUUUCUCUUGAACAAAUCUAAACCAGCACUAAUUCUAGGAUGUAUGCAACCAAAAAUUCAACUACACAAAUACUAGAUGCAAAAAUUGCUAAAAAGGCUAAAAAGAUAGGUGUAAUGGAUGAACUAAUCUAAUUUUUUUUUGGCUUUUUCGUGGGUUUAUAGGACAGAAAAUAAACUAAACUACGAAAACUAUAAAUCUCUCACCGAUAAACCUGAAAACUGAUACCACUUGAUGUGACGGCGGCCCGAUCUUUCGAUGAGAGUGGGGAUAAAUAUCGAUUUGGUGGAUUUUGACCUUGACGAUCCGGCUAUACCGUACCCGACGAUAUGCCUCGACAAUCGCUAAACCAAUCUCCGAUGGUUAUUGACCUUGCUGUAGGCACGAUCAACCUGAACAACGGGGUUUGAGUUCCUGCAAGCAACCGAAGAACCAGCAAGAACAAAGGUGAAUUGCAACUGAAAUUGUGGAUAAAAAAACUAAGCACAAGAACUAGAUGAAAAGUUGGGGUUCCACUGUGGAUCUGACAAGGCGGUAGUCUUACAUGUCUCGUAGAUGCGAAUUGUAGCGAUGGCUAGACAAUACAAUAAAACCCGAGUCUAAACCUAGAUAAACGCUAACUAUUUAUUAAGUCCGUACGUCCGCCGCAUAGGAGCUGCACGUUAACGUGUCCAGCACUCCUACGAUUUGAAGGAAAUAAUCUCAUCAGGCCGGCCCACAUGUAGAUAGAAUAUUGUAUGGUUUCCUUCUUUAUUUGAUGAGGUGGGCUUGUGUGUACUAUCUUCGUCCUGGUUUAUAGGUCCCCUUUGUUGUUUGUGCCAAAUUUUGACUAAAGAUUUAACUAACAAAAUGUUAAUGCAUGUCCAAUAAAAUUAUCUCAUUGGAUUCAUAUUUGAACAUAGUUUUUCAAAAUAUAAUGUUUGGUGACAUGCCUGAACAUUUUGUUAGUUUAAUCUAUGGUCAAACUUUGACACGAAAUACAAUGGAGACUAAUAAACCCGGACAGAGGUAGUACGUGGCUUCCUCCUUCUCUCCUUUUGCAUGUACGUAGCAUGGAUCAUGGAUGGUCCGAUUGGUUCUUGCAUGCAAUAGUGCUCCUGCUGGUGUAGUCAACAUGCAACAUUUUCCAUCUCCUGGCUUCAUAUUACUUUCUCUCGUCAGAUCUUCAACACCUUCAUUUCUGAGUACAAGUAAAUCGGAACAUGAGUGUAAUAUCAUAUUCUCGUCAGUUAAAUUAUGUGUACAAAGGAGCGAUAAUACCUGGCCAUUAAUUUGUCUCGCUCGUUCUCUAGUAAUAGGACCAAGUGGAAUAACUGAUGUAGGAGUCACAGCGGGCGUAACAGUAGAAGUGAUGUCCUCAUCACCAGGUGCCUCAACCAAUCCACCCAGAUGUAUAUGAAAGUUGCCACCUUAAUAUUAUCCAUGAUUAAAUAAGUCUCAAACUUCCAUGUGUGAAUCACUAUCCAAUCCCCGUCUACGAGCAUGGCUAAGCAAUAAUAAGCAUAACGUAUAUUCCCGGGGUGUUCAAAAGGUAUUAGGUUCCUACCUCAAGCACUACAACCAAAACCACAUUUUCCCAAUCCUACUCAUGCAAAUAUUUGCGGGGCAGAACUAAUGCAUAGUAAAAACUGGGUAUAAAAGAGUAUGAUCAAAGUAUAACUUGCCUUGCUGACGAUCUGCAAACUCUAGAAGUUCGUAGUAACAAGCUUCACACUCCGGGUAAUCUGGCGUAGACAAACAUUAGCAUACAUAAGCAAUCACUCAAACGAAACAUCGAGAAAACUCAGAAAAGUUCCAAAUCAAACACGAACCAAACAAACAGCUUAAACUAACAAAAGUCAAACCAAACAGAAAUAUUAUCAUGUGAAUUAGAUCUUAACAUUAGGUUCAUGUGAAUAGCUACGAUUUGCAAAAAGAUUCUACUCAAACGAAGCAAAGAAACUCAAAAUACGAACGAAACAAGAUUGUUUACUAAUCUGGACAAACCCAAAUUUUACUGUACCAAAAUCAUGUUCAAGUUGGUUAACGGUAAAGAACAGAACAAUAUGAAGAUUUAGGCGUUGGUUUCAACUAAUCUGUAUAAACAAGUAAAACAUUAUGCUAGUUUAAAGAUCAGGGGCUAAGUCGCGAUAAAAUUAUUCACGGAUAGGUCCCUAGCCGAAAAUUAAACUAAAAAGAAAAAACUAAGGCGCGAAUGUUCGCUAACAUAACAAAUCUAACGAAUAUUGUUCGUUAAAAUGAACGAACGAAAGAACGUUCGUUAAAUAAAUAAAACCGAAACUAAACCGAUCUAAACCAGAUCGAAGAAAACCAAAACAAAACCGAGAUCAAACCGAGCGGUUUUAUACCGUUAGCCGAGUCGGUUCAACGGCGAAACCUGGCGACGGUGGCGGCGCGGGGCGUGCGGGGCAGCAGCUACGCGGCGACGGCGGGCGUCGGCGGCAGCGGCAGCAGCAGCAGGCGGCGGCGCGACUCGGCAGCGGCGACGCUGGUGGCGGGGCUAUGGUGCGGCGGCGGCGAGACGAGGAGGAGGCGGCGGCCUCGAGGCGGCUUUUAUAGCCCCCCCUCCCCCCGAGUUCUCCGACUUGGACAGGGGGUCGGCGAGGCAGCGGCGAGUUAGACUCCUCUGGGAGUCCGACGACUCCAUGGCGGGCGACGUGGGCGAGGCGGUGUCGCAGCGGGGCUUGGCCCGGCUAGGCUCGGGCCGGCCCAGAACUUUAUUGUAAAUAAUUUCGUCGCGAGGAAAAAUCUUAAAUAAAUAUAACAAAAAUUCUAAAAAUUCCAGAAACAAUUUUCACCGUCCAAACCAAAAAAUUAGGACAAGAUGAACAUUUUUCUGGACUAAGAUGCAAUUUCCAAAAAUGCAAUAUUUUUCUAAUUCAAAUAAAAUAGCAAAUAAAAUAACAAUAAAAUUAUAAUUUGAUUUUAAAAUUCUUUCGCCAAUAUUUCUCUUAGGUUGAAGAAGUCAUAUUAUCUUCUCUCUUAUAUUUUUAAUAUCGGAAAUAAUUGGAGAGAAAAAUAAUAAAAAUCAAAUUGAUCCUUUCUUCAAAUUUGAAUUAAAUUCAAAUAUGAUUUUUGUCAAACCUCCAACUCUCUCCUUGGGUCCUUGAGUUGCUUAAGAUUUCUAGGAUCACAACAAAAUGCAAAAAUAAAUAUGAUAUGCAUAUAAUGAUCUAUGUAUAACAUCCAAAUUGAAAAUUAGGAUGUUACAAUCUCGUCGCGUUCAGCCACAAACGCCAUGCACGUGCUGCCAAACGCCUCUAUCCUCCAUUAGAGCUAUGCUCAAGCUCACUUGUGAUGCUCUAGAACCCUUCCCUCUGCUAUUUAUGGCGUGCUCGACUCCUCCCGCACCUCACUCACUCCUACCCCGCCUCCCUAGUCCAUCGGAGUGGCCUCGCUUGGCCUCUAUCCACCACCGUCAGCCAUGGCCACCUUGGUCUCUUCUUGAUUUCGGCGAGCCUAGCCCUCCUCUCCACCUCCCGACCAAUCCAGCGUGUUCCUCUCCCCCCGACGGUCCUCCCUACCCACUCGUUCAUUGCUGGAGUCCCCCUGAUCGCAAGCUCCAAGUAUGGCCGCCGCCUCCUCCUCUCGGUCGCCCUUUCAUUCGAGCGAGUCGAGCCCCUCCAGCCUUCCCCGACCUCACUGAUACAUCUCCGUCGUAUCUAUAAUUUUUGAUUAUUCCAUGCCAAUAUUAUUCAACUUUCAUAUACGUUUGGCAACUUUUUAUACUAUUUUUUGGGAUUAACAUAUUGAUCCAGUGCCUAGUGUCACUUCCUAUCUGUUGCAUGUUUUAUGUUUCGCAGAAACCCAAUAUCAAACGGAGUCCAAACGGGAUAAAAACGGAUGGAGAAUUAUUUUGGAAUAUUUUGAUUUUUGGGAGGAAGAAUCAAUGCGAGACGGUGCCCGAGGUGGCCACGAGGGUGGCCCACGCCACCACUUUAAGUGGGCGCGCCCCUGACCCUCGUGGGCCCCUCGUAAGGCGGUUGGUGCCCUUCUUUGGCCGCAAGAAAGCUAAUUUUGGAAAAAUAUCUAGGUGAAGGUUUCAAUCCAAUAGGAGUUACGGAUCUUCGUAUAUAAAAGAAACGGUGCCAGGGCAGAAUCUGAGAACGCGGAAACAGAGAGAGACAGAGAGAGAGAUCCAAUCUCGGAGGGGCUCUCGCCCCUCCCAAGCCAUGGGAGCCAAGGACCAGAGGGGAAACCGUUCUCCCAUCUAGGGAGAAGGUCAAGGAAGAGGAAGAAGAAGGGGGUGCUCUCUCCCCCUUGCUUCCGGUGGCGUCAGAACGCCACCGGGGCCAUCAUCAUCACCGCGAUCUUCACCAACAACUUCACCACCUUCAUCACCAACUCUUCCCCCCUCUAUGCAGCGGUGUAACCCCUCUCUUACCCGCUGUAAUAUCUACUUAAACAUGGUGCUGCACGCUAUAUUUUAUUUCCCAAUGAUGUAUGGCUAUCAUAUGAUGUUUGAGUAGAUCUGUUUUGUCCUAUGGGUUAAUUGAUGGUCAUGAUUGGUUUGAGUUGCAUGUUUUAUUAUUGGUGAUGUCCUAUGGUGCUCUUCGUGUCGCGCAAGCAUGAGGGAUCCUCGCUGUAGGGUUUGCAAUAUGUUCAUGAUUUGCUGAUGGUGGGUGGCGUGAGUGACAGGAGCACAGACCCGAGUAAGUAGGUUGUUUGCGUAUGGGAUAAACAGGACUUGAUCCUUUAAUGCUAUGGUUGGAUUUACCUUAAUGAUCUUUAGUAGUUGCGGAUGCUUGCUAGAGUUCCAAUCAUAAGUGCAUAUGAUCCAAGAAGAGAAAGUAUGUUAGCUUAUGCCUCUCCCUCAAAUAAAAUUGCAAUAGUGACUACCGGUCUAGUUAUCGAUUGCCUAGGGACAAAUAACUUUCUCAUGACAAAAAGCUCUCUACUAAUACUUACUUUAUUGCUUCUUUAUCUAAAAAGCCCCUACUUUUUAUUUACGUGUUCUUUAUUACCUUGCAAACCUAUCCAACAACACCUACAAAGUACUUCUAGUUUCAUACUUGUGCUAGGUAAAGCAAACACUAAGCGUGCGUAGAGUCGUAUCAGUGGCAGAUAGGACUUGAGAGAAUAUUUGUUCUACCUUUAGCUCCUCGUUGGGUUCGACACUCUUACUUAUCGAAAGAGGCUACAAUUAUCCCCUAUACUUGUGGGUUAUCAAGACCUUUUUCUGGCGCCGUUGCCGGGGAGUCAUAGCAUGGGGUGAAUAUUCUCGUGUGUUCUUGUUUGCUUUAUCACUAAGUGAUUUUUAUUUGCUGUUCUAAGUUGUUCUCUAUCUUUAGCUAUGGAUAUGGAACACGAAAUACCAAAAAAAAUAGGUGUACUUGCUACUCAUGGAGAUGGGGAACCUCCUGAAACCCUUGAUGCUCAUUAUGUGAAAGAUAUUAUGUACUACUUUGAUAAUCCUGAGAAAACCCCAUUCAAUUAUGUUAUGGGAGACACGUUGGAUCAACGUGAAUACUUUAGGGAUUAUCUCUUGACACAAAAAGGGAAACUAUUAUGGGAUCAAAUUUAUAUGUUGCGUUGAUAUGCUUGGGAUCUAUGCUUGAGACAUGAUUAUAUUUGUUGCUCUAGGAUAAAGUCUCCACACCUUCCCUUUUCAUGCAAAUUCAAUGAUAAUAAAACCUUGGCUUCUUAUGCUAAUGGUAUCUAUGAUUACUAUGAUGUGGAACAAAUAGAAUAAUUUGUUGCUUUUAUGGGUGCUUAUGAGAUUGAAUCUAUGUUUAAAACAUUUGAAGAUUUUGAUUAUUUAGUUUAUAGACCUGAAAAUUUUACUAUACAUAAAUAUUGCUAUGAGAAUUAUGAAUUCAAUUCCGAAAUUGAUGCAUUUAUUGAGAAAGUCUCUGCUGUCCAAGAAGAAACUAAUAUUUUGCAGGAGUCUAUGGAAGAAGAAAUUGAUGAAACUGUGAGCUCACUGGAUGAAAAACAUGAUGAGGAGAGCGAAGAACAAAAGGAGGAAGAGCGGGUUAGCUACCCGUGCCCACCUUCUAAUGAGAAUAACUCUUCAACUCAUACAUUGUUUAAUUCCCCUUCGUGCUUACCGAAGGAUGAUUGCUAUGAUGAUUGUUAUGAUCCCAUUGAUUCUCUUGAAAUAUCCCUUUUUGAUGAUGCUUGUGGCCAAGAUGCCAACAUGAAUUAUGCUUAUGGAGAUGAACUUGCUAUAGUUCAUUAUGUUAAACAUGAAAUUGUUGCUAUUGCACCAACGCAUGAUAGUCCUAUUAUCUUUUUGAAUUCUCCCUACUACACUAUAUCGGAGAAGUUUGCCCUUAUUAAGGAUUAUAUUGAUGGGUUGCGUUUUACUACUACACAUGAUGAUUUUGAUGAAUAUAAUAUGCAUGUGCUUGCUGCUCCUACUUGCAAUUAUAUGAGAGAGGAACUAUAUCUCCACCUCUCUAUGUUUCCAAUAUGAUAAAAUUGCAAGAAACUGCUUAUACUAUGCAUUGGCAUUUAAUUUGUGUGCAUGAAUUGUUCUUUUAUGACAUGCCGAUGCAUAGGAAGAGAGUUAGACUUUGUUGUUUCAUGAUAUAUAUUAGUUUUUGCUCACUACUAAAUUACAAAUCAUUGUUAAUUAAAAUUGGCUUUGAUAUACCUUGGGAUUCGGGUGGAUCCAUUACUUGAGCACUAUAUGCCUAGCUUAAUGGCUUUAAAGAAAACACUGCCAGGGAGACAACCCGGAAGUUUUAGAGAGUCAUUUAUUUCUGUUGAGUGCUUUUAUAUAGUUUAAAAACAAAAAAAUUAAGAGGGGAACCCAAAACUUUUCAAAAAGGAAAGUGAAAGUGAGAGAGACAAGCAUUGUUGAAGUGGGAGAGCUCCUUGAACUUUGUUCAUGCUCACGGAAACUUUGUGAAUCUUAAUUACAGAAAAAUUUCAUCAAAAAUAACUAUCCCCUUGUAUAAUUACAUUGUAUUCUAAAAAUAAUGUGCUAAGGUUUGCCUUUAGGAUGUUUACAAUGCUUGUUGGUUUGUAUGGUGCAGGACAGAAACUUUGGCUGUAGUGCGCGAUUUUACAUUUUUUGCUGGAAUGUCAAAUCAUUCUGAUUCUUUUUGCACUGUCUUGCUGUACAAAGUUUUUAUUUUUCCUAAUUGUGGUAGAAUUUUUGGGGUACCAUAAGUAUGGUGAAUGUGCAGAUUGCUACAGACUGUUCUGUUUUUGACAGAUUCUGUUUUUGAUGCAUAGUUUACUUGUUUUGAUGAAUCUAUCAAUUUAUAUCAGUGGAUUAAGCCAUGGAAAAGUUAUAUUACAGUAUACACAAUGCAAAAACAAAAUAUGAAUUGGUUUGCAACAGUACUUAGAGUAGUGAUUUGCUUUAUUAUACUAACGGAUCUUACCGAGUUUUCUGUUGAAGUUUUGUGUGGAUGAAGUGUUUGAUCGAGAAGGUCUCAAUAUGAAGAAAAGGAGGAGGGGCAAGAGCUCAAGCUUGGGGAUGUCCAAGGAACCCCAAGUAAAUAUUCAAGGAGACUCAAGCAUCUAAGCUUGGGGAUGCCCCGGAAGGCAUCCCCUCUUUCUUCAACAAGUAUCGGUAUGUUUUCGGAUUCGUUUCGUUCAUGCGAUAUGUGCAAGUCUUGGAGCGUCUUUUGCAUUUAGUUUUCACCUUUAUUUUAUGUGCCAUGCUGGUAUGAGAUAGUCCUUGGUUGAUUUAUAGAAUUCUCAUUGCACUUCACUUAAAUCUUUUGAGUAUGGCUUUAUAGAAUGCUUCAUGUGCUUCACUUAUAUCAUUUGAAGUUUGGAUUGCCUGUUUCUCUUAACAUAGAAAACCGCCAUUUGUAAAAUGAUCUUUUGCUUCACUUAUAUUUGUUAGAGCGUGGGCAUAUCUUUUGUAGAAAGAAUUAAACUCUCUUGCUUCACUUAUAUCAAUUUAGAGAGAUGGCAGGAAUUGGUCAUUCACAUGGUUAGUCAUAAAAUCCUACAUAAACUUGUAGAUCGCUGAAUAUGAUAUGUUUGAUUCCUUGCAAUAGUUUUGCGAUAUAAAGGUGGUGAUAUUAGAGUCAUGCUAGUGGGUGAUUGUGGAUUAGUAGAAAUACUUGUGUUGAGGUUUCUGAUUCCUGAAGCAUGCACGUAUGGUGAACCGCUUUGUGAUGAAGUUGGAGCAUAAUUUUAUUUAUUGAUUGUCUUCCUUAUGAGUGGCGGUCGGGGACGAGCGAUGGUAUUUUCCUACUAAUCUAUCCCCCUAGGAGCAUGCACGUAGUACUCUGUUUUCAAUGGCUCGUAGAUUUUUGCAAUAAGUAUAUGAGUUCUUUAUGACUAAUGUUGAGUCCAUGGAUUAUACGCACUCUCACCCUUCCACCAUUGCUAGCCUCUCUUGUGCCGCACAACUUUCACCGGUACCAUACACCCACCAUAUUGUUGGGGAACGUAGUAAUUUCAAAAAAAUUCCUACGCACACGCAAGAUCAUGGUGAUGGCAUAGCAACGAGAGGGGAGAGUGUUGUCUACGUACCCUCAUAGACCGAAGCGGAAGCGUUGACGCAACGUAGAGGAAGUAGUCGUACGUCUUCCCGGUCCAACCGAUCCAAGCACCGUUACUCCGGCACCUCCGAGUUCUUGACACACGUACAGCUCGAUGACGCACCCCGGGCUCCGAUCCAGCAGAGCUUCAAGGAGGAGUUCCGUCAGCACGACGGCAUGGUGACGAUCUUGAUGUUCAACCGUCGCAGGGCUUCGCCUAAGCACCGCUACAAUAUGACCGAGGUGUAAUAUCGUGGAGGGGGGCACCGCACAUGGCUAAGGAACGAUCACGAAGAUCAACUUGUGUGUCUAUGGGGUGCCCCCCACCCCCGUAUAUAAAGGAGCCAAGGGGAGGGGGCGGCCGGCCAAGGAGGGGCGCGCCAAGGGGGAGUCCUACUCCCACCGGGAGUAGGACUCCCUUUCUUUCCUAGUUGGAGAAGGAGAAGGAGGGAAACAGGAGGAAUAGGGGAAGGAAAGGGGGGGCGCCGCCCCCCUUCCCUUGUCCUAUUCGGACUAGGAAGGGGAGGGGCGUGCGGCCCCCUCCUGCCUCCUUCUCUCUUCUCCCUCAAGGCACAUGUAGGCCCAAUAACCCCCCGGGGGGUUCCGGUAACCCCCCGGUACUCCGGUAAAAUGGUGAUUUCACCCGGAACGAUUCCGAUGUCCAAAUAUAGGCUUCCAAUAUAUCGAUCUUUAUGUAUCGACCAUUUCGAGACUCCUCGUCAUGUCCGUGAUCACAUCUGGGACUCCGAACAACCUUCGGUACAUCAAAAUACAUAAACUCAUAAAGAAACUGUCAUCAUAACUUUAAGCAUGCGGACCCUACGGUUCGAGAACAAUGCAGACAUGACCGAGACACAUCUCCGGUCAAUAACCAAUAGUGGGACCUGGAUGCCCAUAUUGGUUCCUACAUAUUCUACGAAGAUCUUUAUCGGUCAGACCGCAUAACAACAUACGUUGUUCCCUUUGUCAUCGUUAUGUUACUUGCCCGAGAUUCGAUCGUCGGUAUCCAAUACCUAGUUCAAUCUCAUUAUCGGCAAGUCUAUUUACUCGUUCCGUAAUACAUCAUCUCGCAACUAACUCAUUAGUUGCAAUGCUUGCAAGGCUUAAGUGAUGUGUAUUACCGAGAGGGCCCAGAGAUACCUCUCCGACAUUCGGAGUGACAAAUCCUAAUCUCGAAAUACGCCAACCCAACAAGUACCUUUGGAGACACCUGUAAAGCACCUUUAUAAUCACCCAGUUACGUUGUGACGUUUGGUAGCACACAAAGUGUUCCUCCAGUAAACGGGAGUUGCAUAAUCUCAUAGUCAUAGGAACAUGUAUAAGUCAUGAAGAAAGCAAUAGCAACAUACUAAACGAUCGGGUGCUAAGCUAACGGAAUGGGUCAUGUCAAUCAGAUCAUUCAACUAAUGAUGUGAUCCCGUUAAUCAAAUAACAACUCUUUGUUCAUGGUUAGGAAACAUAACCAUCUUUGAUUAACAAGCUAGUCAAGUAGAGGCAUACUAGUGACACUCUGUUUGUCUAUAUAUUCACACAUGUAUUAUGUUUCCGGUUAAUACAAUUCUAGCAUGAAUAAUAAACAUUUAUCAUGAUAUAAGGAAAUAAAUAAUAACUUUAUUAUUGCCUCUAGGGCAUAUUUCCUUCACAUAUACCUUCCUCAAAACAGCCACCAUACCUACCUAUCAUGGCAUUUCCAUAGCCAUUCCGAGAUAUAUUGCCAUGCAACUUCCAUCAUCAUCAUAUACAUGACUUGAGAAUUCAUUGUCAUAUUUCCUUGCAUGAUCAUAAGAUAGCUAGCAUGAUGUCUUCAUGGCUUGUCUGUUUUUUUUAAUGUCAUGGCUACGCUAGAUCAUUGCACAUCCCGGUACCGCCGGAGGCAUUCAUAUAGAGUCAUAUCUUUGUUCUAGGUAUCGAGUUGUAAGUAAAUAAAAGUGUGAUGAUCAUCAUUAUUAGAGCAUUGCCCCAGUGAGGAAAGGAUGAUGGAGACUAUGAUUCCCCCACAAGUCGGGAUGAGUCUCUGGACUUUAUGAAAAAUAAAAGAGGCCAAAGAAGCCCAAAAAAAGAGGCCAAAGAAGCCCACCAAAAAAUAAUAAAAAAGGGAAAUAAAAAAUGAGAGAAAAAGAGAGAAGGGGCAAUGUUACUAUCCUUUUACCACACUUGUGCUUUAGAGUAGCACCAUGUUCUUCAUAGAGAGAGCCUCCUAUGCUUUCACUUUCAUAUACUAGUGGGAAUUUUCAUUAUAGAACUUGGCUUGUAUAUUCCAAUGAUGGGCUUUCUCAAAUGCCCGAGGUCUUCAUGAGCAAGCAAGUUGGAUGCACACCCACUUAGUUUUCAGUUUGAGCUUCCAUACACUUAUAGCUCUUAGUGCAUCCGUUGCAUGGCAAUCCCUACUCACCCACAUUGAUAUCUAUUGAUGGGCAUCUCCAUAGCCCAUUGAUACGCCUAGUUGAUGUGAGACUAUCUUCUCCUUUUUUGUCUUCUCCACAACCACCAUUCUAUUCCACAUAUAGUUCUAUGUCCAUGGCUCACUCUCAUGUAUUGCGUGAAAGUUGAAAAAGUUUGAGCUUACUAAAGUAUGAAACAAUUGCUUGGCUUGUCAUCGGGCUUGUGCAUGAUUACUUUGUGUGAUGAAGAUAGAGCAACAGCCAGACUAUAUGAUUUUGUAGGGAUAACUUUCUUUGGCCAUGUUGUUUUGAAAAGACAUGAUUGCUUUAUUAGUACGCUCGAAGUAUUAUCGUUUUUAUGUCAAAUGAUAGACUAUUGCUUUGAAUCACUCGUGUCUUAAUGUUCAUGCCAUGAUUAGAUAUAUGAUCAAUAUUAUGCUAGGUAGCAUUCCACAUCAAAAAUUAUCUUUCUUAUCAUUUACCUACUAAAGGACGAGCAGGAAUUAAGCUUGGGGAUGCUAAUACGUCUCCGCGUCUCUAUAAUUUUUGAUUACUCCAUGCCAAUAUUAUUCAACUUUCAUAUACUUUUGGCAACUUUUUAUACUAUUUUUUGGGACUAACAUAUUGAUCCAGUGCCCAGUGCCAGUUCCUAUUUGUUGCAUGUUUUAUGUUUCGCAGAAACCCAAUAUCAAACGGAGUCCAUACGGGAUCAAAACGGACGGAGAAUUAUUUUGGAAUAUUUGUGAUUUUUGGGAGGAAGAAUCAACGCAAGAUGGUGCUCGAGGUGGCCACGAGGGUGGCCCACGCCACCACUUUAAGUGGGCGCGCCCCUGACCCUCAUGGGCCCCUCGUAAGGCGGUUGAUGCCCUUCUUUGGCUGCAAGAAAGCUAAUUUUUGGAAAAAUAUCUGGGCGAAGGUUUCAAUCCAAUCGGAGUUACGGAUCUCCGGAUAUAAAAGAAACGGUGCCAGGGCAGAAUCUGAGAACGCAGGAACAGAGAGAGACAGAGAGAUAGAUCCAAUCUUGGAGGGGCUCUCGCCCCUCCCAAGCCAUGGGAGCCAAGGACCAGAGGGGAAACCGUUCUUCCAUCUAGGGAGAAGGUCAAGGAAGAGGAAGAAGAAGGGGGGCUCUCUCCCCCUUGCUUCCGGUGGCGCCGGAACGCCGCCGGGGCCAUCAUCAUCACCACGAUCUUCACCAACAAAUUCACCGCCUUCAUCACCAACUCUUCCCUCCUCUAUGCAGCGGUGUAACCCCUCUCUUGCCAGCUGUAAUCUCUACUUAAAUAUGGUGCUCGGUGCUAUAUAUUAUUUCCCAAUGAUGUAUGGCUAUCCUAUGAUGUUUGAGUAGAUCUGUUUUGUCCUAUGGGUUAAUUGAUGGUCGUGAUUGGUUUGAGUUGCAUGUUUUAUUAUUGGUUCUGUCCUAUGGUGCUCUCCAUGUCACGCAAGCAUGAAGGAUCCCCGCUGUAGGGUUUGCAAUAUGUUCAUGAUUUGCUGAUGGUGGGUGGCGUGAGUGACAGAAGCACAGACCCGAGUAAGUAGGUUGUUUGCGUAUGCGAUAAACAGGACUUGAUACUUUAAUGCUAUGGUUGGGUUUUACCUUAAUGAUCUUUAGUAGUUGCGGAUGCUUGCUAGAGUUCCAAUCAUAAGUGCAUAUGAUCCAAGAAGAGAAAGUAUGUUAGCUUAUGCCUCUCCCUCAAAUAAAAUUGCAAUAGUGAUUACCGGUCUAGUUAUCGAUUGCCUAGGGACAAAUAACUAUCUCGUGACAAAAAGUUCUCUACUAAUACUUACUUUAUUGCUUCUUUAUCUAAACAGCCCCUACUUUUUAUUUACGUGUUCUUUAUUAUCUUGCAAACCUAUCCAACAACACCUACAAAGUACUUCUAGUUUCAUACUUGUUCUAGGUAAAGCGAACACUAAGCGUGCGUAGAGUCGUAUCAGUGGCAGAUAGGACUUGAGAGAAUAUUUGUUCUACAUUUAGCUCCUCAUUGGGUUCGACACUCUUACUUAUCGAAAGAGGCUACAAUUAUCCCCUAUACUUGUGCGUUAUCACUCACCACCGUCCUCCCCCUCUCCCAUCGCCAGAGCUGUCCGCACCACCCAGCAUCACCACCAUCGCCCGCUCAUGUCCUCCUCCUGGCACCGCCCCUCUGCCAUCCCGCGCCUCCCCAGCACGUCCCUCCGCCGGGAAUGAGCGCUGCUCGGCCCUACCAUCCCGCUGGUGCCCUCAACCGGGCGGGAGAUGGCUGGAGCAGCCCACACCAUCGCCGGCUUUGCCCUGCUCCUGCUCCUCUAUUCCCGAUCGGGACAGAGGGAGGAGGAAGACCACGCCUUGCCCAGUUGGCUAGGCGGGCCCCUCCUCCCCAGCGGACCCCACCCGUAAGUGAGCCACCAUCUUAUCCACUCGGAUAAGUGGAGGCGCAUUUUUCGAAAUGUGUUUUCAUUUUUUGAAAGCGUAUUUCCCUCCUUUAUCUAAAAUGCACUUUCUCGGUUAUGAAAGCGUAUUCUCUUCUAACUGCAGCCUAAAAUACGCUUUAUCUUUCAGAAAAUCUAUUCUUUCCGAAGGCGUUUUCUGUUUUUCAGCCCAAGGACCUGUUUGCGGGGAACUUUUUAUAGAAUGGUCCCUGGUGUUCAACCCCUCAUAUCUCCGCGACCGUAACUCCGAUCGAGGUGAAACCAAUGCCCACGUCUUUGUCUCAUCAAGCUCUUUCUGUUGGUACCAUUUUGACUAGGUGGUCCCAUAGUGAAAAUGACCAUUUUUCCCUUGCUUCUAAUCAGCCCCCUUCAAGAGAGAAGAACGUCUAACAUUGCGUUUCACGGCUUCACCGCACUUCUCCCCGGAGUCCCCGUCACCCCCAGGCAAGCCACAACAGCCACUUGCAUGAUAGCCAUGUAGUAGCCAUGGUUUAUACUUGAAUAUUUAAUAAAUGUUUGCCCGUUAACUGCUUGCUUGUUUGCUACUACUGUCGUUGUUUCGAUUUGCUCAUGGAUUCAUGUUCACCUUCAUGCUAUGUUCCGGUGCAUCUUGGUACCUUGUACUACUUGCUAGUAUCAUUUUCACAUGUCAUGCUUGGUAGUAGUAGUACAUGCUGGUAGUAGUGAUGUUCGUUCUGGUGCAUGCAUGUAGUUUGCUAUCCAGUACCAUUGCGGUGCAUGUUCCUUCGCACGUAGUUGUCACAUGUUUACUUGGCAGUAUCCUUGUUAUGUUCUUGCAUGGUAUUUAUGAUGCUAGUGGUCAUGCUAUACUCAUGUGUAGUGUUAUGCUUAUGAAAUGCUCAUUUGGUUAUAUGCUUCAUUGUGGUUAUGCUCAAUGGUCAUGUUGCACCUCCAUGCUUAUGUUGAUAUCAUGUUCAUGCAUUGUAGUUACAUCAUGUUAUUUUAAUAUGACUCAGCUUAUUGCAUUCAAGUUUAACCGGAUAAUAAUGAACUUGAACAACUGUUGGCUGAGUCAUGGUGCCACCAAAUCAAGCUGACCAGUGUAGCCACAUUUGGCUUUAUGGGAAGGCCCUAAUGCGGUUUAAUGGCAUGCCUGUUGUCGGUGCCUCCAACGAGGGAAGGUUAUGGGUGCGCGCUACCCUGAUCAGGUAGGCGGACAUAAACCUUGUGAGCCCGAGUUUGGUUAUGUGCACAUGUCCCCGUUUGGGACCGUUUAUUGUUUUGCCACGACGGUGGCCAUUGGAUGUCAUUGGUUGACAUCAGGGCCACCCAGGACUUAGCCCAGAGGGGAGUUGGUCAGAGUGGCUGGGAGAGUGUGAUGGCAAUGGAUCAGUUUUGUCGGAAUGCAGUUGGUCCACCCGAAUGGGAGUGCGAGACCAUUGAUUCCAUGGUGUGGGUACAGUGUACUAACCUAUGUAGAGUGUGUGUUAAAUCUAUCGAUAGCCGCGCCCGUGGAUAUGGGCCCAGUUCAUAGUCGGUCAUACUAUGAGCCAACUAUAAUAAUAACUUCAUUAAUAAUAAUAACCCCGGUUCGAUGAUGAGAAAGAGGUUGGUUGUGAUCAAGAGAGGAUCACGGAGGUAUCGUGGAUACCAAAGUUGGUUGAUCUUUAUGUGAUCGCAAGAUGAUCACGGAGGUAUCGUGGAUACCAAAGUUGGUUGAUUGUUAUGUGAUCGUGAGAGGAUCACAUUGGUAUCAUGGAUACCAUGGUUGGUAAGUUGAUGCUUGAGAUGGUUACUAGGUAACCGCUGAGCAAGAGUAAGUUGGUGCAUGAAAAUGUUAACCUGUUGCAUGUAGUGUCAUCAUGUUUAUAUGCUCAUGCUAUGCUUGUUAUAGCCGUAUCAUGUUCAGUUUGUGCAUGCCAUGUUGUUCUAUUAGUAUCAUGCUCAUGAUUGAUUUAACCUGCUAAUGACAUGUUCUUGUUUGUCUUGACUGCUUUUGGUUAUUGUAGAAUUGCAAGUACAUUCAAUGUAUUGACCUGGCGUGUCAUGCCAGUUUGCAGGUCGUGCCUGGAUUGCUUACGUGUUUGGUCUGGUUCCUGUGUUCGCGAGCUAGGAUAAACAUUCCAGCCAGAGUCCCUGCGGAUUGGAGUCCAUCAUUGUCGUUCGUUGUUCCGCUGCCUCGAGUUGUUAUGCUGCUUGCAUAGAGGAAAUGGUGUUGGUAUAGCGUCGCCGUGCCGAUGUUAUUCAUUGUAAUAUCGGAGACCUUGUAUUCAUAUUCGUGUUGUAAUAGAGAGCUGGUUUGUUCUAUGCUAAGUAGUGAUGUAUUCCAGAAGACUUCACCUCGAUCAUUGGCUAGAAUACGGGGCGUUCCAGUUUCUCUGGGACGGGGUGUCACAGGGCUUGGUAUCAGAGCAGGUCUGGCUGUACAGCGCCCUAGUCCGCUGGAACGUUAGAAAAUAGUAGUAUAGGAUCUAGUUGUUGCCCUUGCUUGCUGCAUUUGGUUGUUGCAUUUGUUUGCUGCAUAUAGUCUUAUUCGGUUACCCCUAACCCCUGUAUCUUGCGUAGAUGGCGCUCAAUUUCCAUGAGUUUAGUGCCAUUCCCAGGGCUCCCAGUGUUGUUCCUAUUGCAUUCAGCCCCACUCCUGCACCUCUCGGCUUUGCCACCAUCCUUGGCGAUAUGUGGCGUAGCAUUUAUCCCCGCAAAGACCCACCUCAUUAUCAAGUAUUCCAGUUUUCUAUCGGAGGAAGAAUUCAAGAGUAUGUUACUCAGGUCCAUCUAUCAGCCCCGAUUCCUAUUGGUAAGCGCAUCUAUAGUUUCCAUAGUCAUUACGGCACUACUCCCGAGCGUGUCGUUUAGCUUGCCGCAAUGGCAGGAAUCACCGGUCUUCGUCAUCAAGAGAGCACGGUGCAAGAGAACCGUGCUUAUCAGUACUAUCCCACAUCAUCGAGAAUCCUAAGCGGAUCAAGUUCCCAUCUGUCAACCCUCAAAAUUACCCGGCUAUCCUCGCCAUGUCCCGUUACAUGAUGGCCGAGUGUCUUCUUAUUUCCGAGUUAGUCCAAGACUCCAUUCGAGCCAGGAGAUUGCUUGGUGCUUCCCUACCUCGGUCUCUGCCAGUUUCUCCAACCCCUCCGCCUCAUCCCUCCAGAGUUUCGAAGUCAACAGCUCCCCUCGCUACUCCCUUAGCUUCUUCAUCAGCCCCCAAGCUUUUGCUCAAGCGUAGGGUGUAGUCCUUUGUGUAGUGCAUGUGCAUCUGCUGUAGUAUUAUGCUUGUGUGUGCCUAUGUGGAGUAGUUUUGUAGCUUGUUUGAUGUCUGCUUUGUUGCAAUAAAUUGUUUUCUCAUGCUUCUUGGUUUGAAUCUUCGGUGUUACCCCCUUAUGGAAAGUGCUCAUCAAUCGCCACCGACAAGAAAAAGCCAUGAGAAGUAAAUAUAUACACCAAGGAACUCAGUAAAAGCAAUGAGAUUUUAAUUUGACAGCAUUAUGUUGCAGACAUCUGGUCUGGAUACAAAUUAUAUCCUGCUCAGACUUUCGGUAACAAGUACCCAUGAGAGAUCCACCUUUAUUACAACAAUGAUUGAUCCAGCAGGAGAACAAAAUUGGAUCCAAGUCCAGCAUACAUUUCAAUUAAAAGGUAUGGUCCAUACACAAUGAUUAAUUUUGUCAUGAGUCUGAUUUGAAACAUGUGACACCCAGAACUCAGUCCAAAUAUGCAACGAAUUCAGCAAGGAUAGUGACACAAUCCUUGUCAUACAAGUUAUCAGCAGUCGUGAUAUGUCUCCAUGUAUCUAUAAUUUUUUAUUGUUCCAUGCUGUUAUAUUAUCAUUCUUGGCUGUUUUACAAUCAUUUUAUAGUCAUUUUAUAUCAUUUUUUGGUAAUAAACUAUUGACAUAGUGCUCAGUGCUAGUUGUUGUUUUCUGCAUGUUUUUUACAUCGCAGGAAAUCAAUACAAAGCGGAGUCCAAACGCAGCGAAACUUUUGUGGAUUUUUUUGGACCAAAAGACAUCCAAUGGGCGAGGAACGCACCUGAGGGGAGCUCCGAGGGGAGCACAACCCACCAGGGUGCGCCUGGGGGCCCAGGCGUGCCCCGGUGGGUUGUGACCUCCUCGUUGGCCUCCCGCACCGCCUCUUUGCUCUAUAAAUACCCCAAUAUUCCAGGAACCCUAGGAGAGUCGACAAAAAUCAAUUCUAGCCGCCGCAGGGUGCAGAAACACCAGAUCCAAUCUAGACACCAUCACGAAGGGGUUCAUCAUGUCCAUUGGUGCCUCUCCAAUGAUGUGUGAGAAGUUCUUUGUGGACCUACGGGUUCGUAGUUACUAGAUAGAUGUCUUCCUCUCUCUCUCUUGAUUAUCAAUACAAUGGUCUCUUGGAGAUCCAUAUGAUGUAAGUCUUUUUGCGGUGUGUUUGUUGGGAUCCGAUGAACUUUGAGUUUAUGAUCAGAUCUAUGUUUUUAUCCAUGAAAGUUAUUUUAGUCUUCUUUGAUCUCUUAUAUGCGUGAUGGUUUAUUGCCUUGUAUUUCUUCUACGAUAUUUGGGUUUUGUUUGGCCAACUUGAUCUAUUUCUCUUGCAAUGGGAAGAGUUGCUUUGUGAUGGGUUCAAUCUUAUGGUGCUAGAUCCCAGUGACAGAAAGGGAAACGACAUGUAUGUAUCAUUGCUAUUAAGGAUAACAAGAUAGGGUGUAUUUCUACAUCAAUAGAUCUUGUCUACAUCAUGUCAUUGUUCUUAUUGCAUUACUCCGUUUUUUCAUGAACUUAAUACACUAGAUGCAUGCUGGAUAGCGGUCGAUGUGUGGAGUAAUAGUAGUAGAUGUAGGCAGGAGUCGGUCUACUAAUCUUGGAUGUGAUGCCUAUAUAAUGAUCAUUGCCUGGAUAUCAUCAUGAUUAUUUGAAGUUCUAUCAAUUGCCCAACAGUAAUUGUUUUCCUACCGUUUGCUAUUUUUCUCGAGAGAAGCCACUAGUGAAACCUACGGCCACCAGGUCUCCUUUCAUUAUAUUUGCCUUUGCGGUCUAUUUUCCUUUGCUUUUACUUUCAGAUCUAUUAAACCAAAAAUACAAAAAUAUCUUGUUGCAAUUUAUUUGUUCCGCGAUCUAUUUAUCCUAUCUACCACUUUUUAUCUCACAUUAUUUGCCUACCUUGAGGCACCGUACCCGAAAGGGAUUGACAACCCCUUUAACACGUCGGGUUGCGAGUAUUUGUUAUUUGUGUGCAGGGGUUGUUUGUGUGGUGUGAAGAGGUUCUCCUAUUGGUUCGAUAACCUUGAUCUCAUCACUGAGGGAAAUACCUACCGUCGCUAUACUGCAUCAUCCCUUCCUCUUUGGGGAAAUACCGAUGUAGUGCUAGCAGACAUCAAAAGGAAUUCCUAGCGCCGUUGCCAGGGAGGAUCUUCAACAUCAACCAGGUUCCUAAUCACAAAUUUCAUCUCCUCGCAAUCUACAUUAUUUGCCAUUUGCCUAUCGUUUUCAUCUCCCCCACUUCACAAAAAUUUGUUGUUUUACUCGCCCUUUUUUUCCGUUUGCCGUUUUCUCAUCAGAUCUAUUCGUGUUCCUGUUUCACUAUGGCUAGCUUGAAUGCACCUCCUUUGUUACCAGACUUUGAAGUUCUAUAUUUCAAACAAAGACAAGGAGAAAAUUUGAAAGAUGUUGUGUAUAGGCUUAUGGAGUCUUACCGUAUUUGCAAUCUAAAGGGAGAUGCAAAAAUUUUCCUUAGAAAUUUUUACGUAGGACUGGCUUUGCAUCAUAGACAAAUCUUGGAUUUUUCCACAAAAGGGAAUUUUAUUGAGCUUGAUUUCAAUGUCGCCUAUGAAAUCUUAGAAGAAAUUUUGGGGGUUCCACCACAAAAGAAAGGGUUUUCUUUCACCCCGGAGGGAAUCCAAAUUUUGGACAAACUCGGUGAUUUGCAUAAACAUAUGGUUGAAUUAUAAAAAUAUAAUGAACCUCUCAAUGGUAGUAUCAAUCAUAUGAAUACUUUGAUUUCCCUUUGCAAUAAACAGUUGGAUAUUUUAGAUCUCAAGAUGGUUUCUUUUCUGGAAAAUUUAGGGAAGUGCAAAGAGCCUCCCGGAUUUGAAAAUACCCUUACUAAAGUGACAAAGAUAAUGGAGAGCAACACUUAGAUCCUACGCGUUUUGCCUAGCUAGGGGCGUAAAACGAUAGCGCUCGUUGGGAGGCAACCCACCUUGUAUCUUUUUCCUUUUUGGUUUUUUUGUUGUUUUCAAUAAAAUACACAGUUAUGCCUCUGGUUAGAUGUGUUUUUGUGGUUUAAAUAGUGUUUGUGCCAAGCAAGGCCAUUGGGAUGAUUUGGGUGAAAGUUGAUUUGAUCUUGCUGAAAAACAGAAACUUUUGUGCUCAUGAAAAUAUUUUUCAUUUUUAUCUGAAGAGUGCUAAGUUGAUUCUUUUUGCAGAAGAUUAAUAAACAAAUUAUUCACGCCGUCCUAAUUUUUCAGAAAUUUUGGAGUUACAGAAGUAUUCAAAGUAGUCAGAUUGCUAUAGACUGUUCUGUGUUUGACAAAUUCUGUUUUCUUUGCGUUGUGUGCUUAUUUUGAUGAUUCUAUGGUUUUGUUUGAUGAGGUUUCUCCAUAGAAAAUUUGGAAUACAGUAGAUAUAAUGCAAAAAUAAAAUAUGAGUGGGUUUGCAACAAUACUUAUAGUAGUGGUUUGCUUUCUUAUACUAACGGAUCUCACGAAGGUUUUGUUGAGUUUUGUGUGAUUGAAGUUUUCAAGUUUUGGGGGAUCUUAUGAUGGAUGAAGGACUAAGGAUUAGCAAAAGGCUAAGCUUGGGGAUGCCCGAGGCACCCCAACAUAAUAUUCAAGAAGUAGCAAGCAACUGAUCUUAGGGAUGCCCCCGAGUGGCAUCCCCUCUUUCUUCUAAUAACCAUCGGUAUUUUACUUGGAAUUAUAUUUUUAUUUGUCACAUUUUAUGAGUUUUGCUUGGAGCUUCUUGUAUGAUACGAUUCUUUUCUUGUUUUGCUUUGUGUUUUAAGUGUUGAAUCCUUGCUGAACGCACAUUUUUUAGAGAGCCAAAAAUUAUGCUUGCUCCUAUACUUCACUUCAAUUUUUUUAGAGCCUUGGAUUUGCGCUAGUGCUUCACUUUUAUCUUUUUGAGCACGGUGUGCUUUGUUAUUUUUAAAUAAAUUCUCUCAUGCUUCAAUUAGAUUUAUUUGGGAGUUAGUAAUUUUUUUAAGAAAUUCUCUCUUGCUUCACUUAGAUUGUUUUGAGAGACAGAAAUAUCAUGCUCAUACUCUUCACUUAUAUUUGUUUGAGCUUAUCAAAAGCAUCAUAUAAAAAUAGUCCCAAAGUGAUAGAUAUCCAAGGAGGAUAUAAUAAAAACUUUCAUGAAGAUCAUUGGACAAAAUAAACUUGAUUCUUAGUAAUGGUUUUGAGAUAUGACGACAUGAUAUGUGAGUCAUGUUGAUGAGUAAUUAUGCUUUAGUAAGAAUAUUGAUGUUAUGGUUUGUGAUUCCCUAUGCAAGCACGAAAGUCAAUAGUUAUGCAAUGAAAUUUAUAAACUACUUGUGGUGCAUUACACGGUGUUACUUAUGCUUAAUGCUUGGGUACGAGAUUUUUCGUUUCUUGGUUGGUCACUUCUCAAUCUUUUUGCUAGCCUUCAUUUUGCACUCAUUACUUGUGCAUCCAAAACCCUUUAAACCAGUUUUGCCAUAUGAGUCCACUUUACCUACCUAUAUGUGGUAUUUCCACGAUGUUCUAAGCAAAUUUGCAUGUGCCAUCUAUAAUUUUCAAAAUAAAUUUCUCUUUUGUGUGCUCUACCGCUUGCGAAGCGGUGAGGGGUGGCCAAUAUUUUCCAUGCUAGAUGUGUUAUUCUCACGGUGAGUAUUUAUUCACUUGUCAUUGCAUGAGAGUAUGACAAAGGUACUAGGGAUGAACAGUCCCUAAAUGAAAAAUGAAUUUACUUUAUGUUAUCAAAUAAUAAAUUCCUUGGAAAGUGUUGGUAUGGAGGGCACCCGUGGAUACGGACAAGCCAUGGAAAGUGAAAGUAAUGGUGGAAAAAGGAAUAAACUUUAUUUUCUGUUUUGGGACCGCCUAUGAUGUAUCUAGCAUGGCAAGUGUUGGGAGCUCUAAGUCAUUUUCGUUGGUGGGAAAAGUAUGCCUAUCAAAAUGUUUUUAUCUCUCAAUUUUCUCUAUGAGCUCUGGCACCUCUACAAAUCCCUACUUCCCUCCGCGAAAGGCCUUUCUUUUACUUAUGCAAUUUUUAUCUUGAAUUUGAGUCUCCAUCUUCUCUUAUAAAGCACCAACUAAGGGGCACUAUGAUCGUAUAUGAGCAUUGGGUGUAGCUAAUAUUCGAGUGUGUUUCAUGAAUGGAUCAAUGACUGAGCAUGAUGGGAUUGGGAUAACUUGAUUUAGUGUUGAUAUUUUGAAAGACAUGGUUGCUUGUUGAUUUGCUUGAGUAUUAAAGUCUUCAUGUCAAAACUAGACUAUUGCUUUGAACCAUAUAAAAGUCCAAAUGUCCAUGUUACAAAGAAAAGAAAUGUGAUGAACAUGUUCGGUAGCAUUCCACAUCAAAAAUUCUGUUUUUAUCAUUUACCUACUCGAGGACGAGCAGGAAUUAAGCUUGGGGAUGCUGAUACGUCUCCAAUGUAUCUAUAAUUUCUUAUUGUUACAUGCUGUUAUAUUAUCAUUCUUGGGUGUUUUACAAUCAUUUUAUAGUCAUUUUAUAGCAUUUUUUGGUACUAAACUAUUGACAUAGUGCCCGGUGCCAGUUGCUGUUUUCUGCAUGUUUUUUACAUCGUAGGAAACCAAUACCAAAAGGAGUCCAAACGCAACGAAUCUUUUUAUGGAUUUUUUUUGGACUAGAAGACAUCAAGUGGGCCAGGAACGCACCUAAGGGGAGCUCCGAGGGGAGCACAACCCACUAGGGUGCACCUGGGGGCCCAGGCGCGCCCCAGUGGGUUAUGCCCUCCUCGUUGGCCUCCCGCACCGCCUCUUUGCUCUAUAAAUAUCCCAAUAUUCCAGAAACCCUAGGAGAGUCGACGAAAAUCAAUUCCAGCCGCCGCAGAGUCCAGAAACACCAGAUCCAAUCUAGACACCAUCACGGAGGGGUUCAUCAUGUCCAUUGGUGCCUCUCCGGUGAUAUGUGAGUAGUUCUUUGUAGACCUACAUGUCCGUAGUUAGUAGCUAGCUGGCUUCCUCUCUCUCUCGCUCUCUCUCUCUCUCUCUAUCUCUCUCUCUCUCUCUUGAUUAUCAAGACAAUGGUCUCUUGGAGAUCCAUAUGAUGUAAGUCUUUUUCGAUGUGUUUGUUGGGAUUCGAUGAACUUUGAGUUUAUGAUCAGAUCUAUGUUUUUAUCCAUGAAAGUUAUUUGGGUCUUCUUUGAUCUCUUAUAUGCGUGAUUGAGUAUAGCCUCGUAUUUCUUCUCCAAUAUUUGGGUUUUGUUUGGCCAACUUGAUCUAUUUAUCUUGCAAUGGGAAGAGGUGCUUUGUGAUGGGUUCGAUCUUAUGGUGCUUGAUCCCAGUGACAGAAAGGGAAAUGACAUGUAUGUACCGAGGCUAUUAAGGAUAACAAGAUGGGGUCUAUUUCGACAUCAAUAGAUCUUGUCUACAUAAUGACAUCGUUCUUAUUGCAUUACUCUGUUUUUACCUAAACGUAAUACACUAGAUGCAUGUUGGACAGCGGUCGAUGUGUGGAGUAAUAGUAGUAGAUGCAGGCAGGAGUCGGUCCACUAAUCUUGGACGUGAUGCCUAUAUAAUGAUCAUUGCCUGGAUAUCGUCAUGAUUAUUUGAAGUUCUAUCAAUUGCCCAACAGUAAUUGGUUUCCCACCGUUUGCUAUUUUUCUCAAGAGAAGCCACUACUGAAACCUACGGCCCCCGGAUCUCUUUUCCUCAUAUUUGCCUUUGCGAUCUAUUUUCCUUUGCUUUUAUUUUCAGAUCGAUUAAACUAAAAAUACAAAAAUACCUUUCUGCAAUUUAUUUGUUCCGUGAUCUAUUAAUCCAAUCAACCACUUUUUAUCUCACGUUAUUUGCCUAUCUUGAGGCGCCAUACCCGAAAGGGGUUGACAACCCCUUUAACACGUCGGGUUGCGAGUAUUUGUUAUUUGUGUGCAGGGGCUGUUUAUGUGGUGUGAGGAGGUUCUCCUACUGGUUCGAUAACCUUGGUCUCAUCACUGACGGAAAUACCUACCGUUGCUAUACUGCAUCAUCCCUUCCUCUUUGGGGAAAUACCAACGUUGUUCUAGCAGACAUCAAGCCGGAAUGACAAGAAUAUAUAUUAUUCGAUCACAGAUAAAAUCAAUGUAGUCCUUCUUCACAACUUCACAACAAAGCAUACAAGGCAAGAUUCCUCAGUCUACAUCAGAAAGGUAUGAUUGGAUUCUCGUGCAAGAUAUCUAGUCUUCUUCAGUAAGAUACCGCAAAAGCUUAUGGCAUAAGGUACCGAGUCUUUCCUAGUAAGUCUUUAAGGAGGAAACUUAUGAGGUACGCUAUCCUAGCCUUCCUCAGCCAGCUAUCUGCCGAAAGCUUUGAGCACAAGCCAUCCAGUCUUCCUCAGCACGAUAUCCUGAUGGCUUCCAAUGCAAGUUGCCCAGUAUUCUUCAGUACGUCAUUGGUACAAGAAAAUAAACAAUGGGUUGUCAGCAUAUGGAAGUGUUUUCCAAGCAUCAGAUCUACAACAGUUGGGUCAGAAACAAGAAUCAGUCAGAAUAAAGGUAUGCCUCGAGAAUCAGGUAUUUCUUCAUACGGUGAGCAUGUUGUCAAGUUCAUGCAAGUCCUUCGCAGAAGAAAGAAUUCAUGGUAUGCAUCCGACAACCUCACUGGUUAUGCAAGUGAAGGAAAACCAGUGGGUGAUGCAAGAAUCGACAAGUUUUGAAGGAAGAAAAUGUUGAGAUAUCAUCUUGGUAGUAAUUAUCGAGAUCAGCCCCCCCCCCACAUCCGACAAGGUGAUGUUAUUAAUCCUGUCACUGUUUGGCAUAGUUAACAACAGUAAUGAGAUCUGUAUAAGCACGCGUGAGUCGGAUAAACAUCCCGAGACUCAAGACAUGAACAAGACCAAGGUAUGGUUGCAAUAUAUUGCAUGUGACAACACUCAGGGCCGUGAAAAUAAUCAAGGAUAUAUAAGGCCCCGCUCUUUCAGUUAAAAAUCCAGGCGAAGAAAAUAAUAAUGAAAGAGCAUGAUCGACAAUACCUGUAUGUCGGCUAUUGUGUGAACAAUGUGGUAUGUAUGCCCAAGGCAGUCUUAUUCCACAUCAAACCCAAGUGAAGGUACGCCGAAGAGGUCUACCCCAUUGUAGUAAGGACCUCAUGGCAAGGCAACCAGCUCAGUCAACAGUAUAUGCUCAGAACUAUCAGCAUCAUAUACCCAAGUUUGUCAAGUCCGACCCAAGGACAGCUCAACAUAUUGACCUCAGCAACCGUGCUAAAGCAUCGCACUGACUGCUAUCCACAUGGAUAUACCAAUAAAAUGAGUAAUCUGAGCAUUCAUAACAAGCCUCAAAGCAUGAGCUCUCACAUAUGGAAAGCAAUUAAAGAAUAGCAUGUGUGAACAAGAUUCUUUGCCAAGAUCACCGCCAGUCAAGUCUGCAAAUGUUAUCAUUAGGUGAUGGUGCAUUUUUCUAUCAGUCACGAAAAGCGACAUUCAAACCUUUGGUACAGUUUGGAUACUCAAGAUAGUGAAGUCAGUCAAGAUACUCCUGUGAGAUGGUAGGAUCACAUUCUAAUUGUACCACAUCUCACGCGAAGAAGCAAAAACUUAGGUUCAAUAGAUACUGGCCGAUAAUUGUUCAGGAAGAAAGGUGGGAUGCCUACCGGGGCAUCCCCAAGGUUAGAUGCUUGAGACUUCUUGAAAUUUUAACUAGGGAUGCCUUGGGGAUCCCCAAGCUUGAGCUCUUGCAUCUCCUUAAUGCCUCUCAUAUCAUGGUUUCCCUAAUUCUUAAAAAUUCAUCCACACAAAACUCAACAAGAACUCGUGAGAUACGUUAGUAUAAAUCAAUGCAAAACCUUAUCAUUCUCUACUAUGGAGAAUCACUAAAAUUAUUGUUUAACAUUGCAUACUAAAUUCCACUGCAUGUUUAAUACUCCUAUCCUUAAGUAGAAUCAUUAAACAAGCAAACAUUUGCAAACAAUGCAAACAUAAUAGCAAUCUGUCUAAAUAGGACAGUCUGUGAAGAAUGCAAGAAGAUUUAUACUUCUCUACAACAACAACAACAACAAAGCCUUUAGUCCCAAACAAGUUGGGGUAGGCUAGAGGUGAAACCCAUGGCUCUGGCACAUGGAUAGCAAGCUUCCACGCACCCCUGUCCAUAGCUAGCUCUUUGUCGAUACUCCAAUCCUUCAGGUCUCUCUUAACGGACUCCUCCCAUGUCAAAAUCGGUCGACCCCGCCCUCUCUUGACAUUCUCCGCACGCUUUAGCCGUCCGCUAUGCACUGGAGCUUCUGGAGGCCUGCGCUGAAUAUGCCCAAACCAUCUCAAACAAUGUUGGACAAGCUUCUCCUCAAUUGGUGCUACCCCAACUCUAUCUCGUAUAUCAUCAUUCCAGACUCGAUCCUUCCUCGUGUGGCCACACAUCCAUCUCAACAUACGCAUCUCCGCCACACCUAACUGUUGAACAUGUCGCCUUUUAGUCGGCCAACACUCCGCGCCAUACAACAUUGCGGGUCGAACCGCCGUCCUGUAGAACUUGCCUUUUAGCUUUUGUGGCACUCUCUUGUCACAGAGAAUGCCAGAAGCUUGGCGCCACUUCAUCCAUCCGGCUUUGAUUCGAUGGUUCACAUCUUCAUCAAUACCCCCAUCCUCCUGCAACAUUGACCCGAAAUACCGAAAGGUGUCCUUCCGAGGUACCACCUGGCCAUCAAGGCUAACCUCCUCCUCCUCACAGCUAGUAGUACUGAAACCGCACAUCAUGUACUCGGUUUUAGUUCUACUAAGCCUAAACCCUUUCGAUUCCAAGGUUUGUCUCCAUAACUCUAACUUCCUAUUUACCCCCAUCCGACUAUCGUCAACUAGCACCACAUCAUCCGCAAAGAGCAUACACCAUGGGAUAUCUCCUUGUAUACCCCUUGUGACCUCAUCCAUCACCAAUGCAAAAAGAUAAUGGCUCAAAGCUGACCCCUAAUGCAGUCCUAUCUUAAUCGGGAAGUCAUCGGUGUCGACAUCACUUGUUCGAACACUUGUCACAACAUUAUUGUACAUGUCCUUGAUGAGGGUAAUGUACUUUGCUGGGACUUUGUGUUUCUCCAAGGCCCACCACAUGACAUUCCGCGGUAUCUUAUCAUAGGCCUUCUCCAAGUCAAUGAACACCAUAUGCAAGUCCUUCUUAUGCUCCCUAUAUCUCUCCAUAAGUUGUCGUACCAAGAAAAUGGCUUCCAUGGUCGACCUCCCAGGCAUGAAACCAAACUGAUUUUUGGUCACGCUUGUCAUUCUUCUUAAGCGGUGCUCAAUGACUCUCUCCCAUAGCUUCAUUGUAUGGCUCAUCAGCUUAAUUCCACGGUAAUUAGUACAACUCUGAACAUCCCCCUUGUUCUUGAAGAUUGGUACUAAUAUACUCCGUCUCCAUUCUUCUGGCAUCUUGUUUGCCCGAAAAAUGAGGUUGAAAAGCUUGGUUAGCCAUACUAUCGCUACGUCCCCGAGACCUUUCCACACCUCAAUGGGGAUACAAUUAGGGCCCAUCGCCUUGCCUCCUUUCAUCCUUUUUAAAGCCUCCUUCACCUCAGACUCCUGGAUGCGCCGCACAAAACGCAUGCUGGUCUCAUCAAAGGAGUCAUUCAGUUCAAUGGUAGAACUCUCAUUCUCCCCAUUGAACAGCUUGUCGAAGUACUCCCGCCAUCUAUGCUUAAUCUCUUCGUCCUUCACCAAGAGUUGGCCUGCUCCGUCCUUGAUGCAUUUGACUUGGCCAAUAUCUCUCGUCUUCCUCUCCCGGAUCUUAGCCAUCUUAUAGAUGUCCCUUUCACCUUCCUUCGUGCCUAACCGUUGGUAGAGGUCCUCAUAUGCCCGACCCCUUGCUUCACCAACAGCUCGCUUUGCGGCCUUCUUCGCCAUCUUGUACUUCUCUAUGUUGUCUGCACUCCUAUCCAGGUAUAGGCGUCUGAAGCAAUCUUUCUUCUCUUUAAGCACCUUCUGGACAUCAUCAUUCCACCACCAGGUAUCGUUAUCUUCGCUUCUCCUUCCCCUGGACACUCCAAACUCCUCCGAGGCCACCUUACGAAUGCAAGUCGCCAUCUUCAUCCACACAUUGUCCGCAUCCCCUCCUUCCUCCCAAGGGCCCUCCUUAAAUACCCUCUCCUUGAACACCUGAGCUACCUCCCCCUUGAGCUUCCACCACUUCGUUCUAGCGACCUUGGCACGCUUAUCCCGCUGGACACGAAUCCGAAAGCGGAAGUCAGCAACCACCAGCUUAUGCUGGGGGACAACACUCUCCCCAGGUAUCACCUUACAGUCUAGGCACGCACGCCUAUCUUCUCUUCUCGAGAGGAUGAAAUCAAUCUGGCUAGAGUGUUGGCCACUACUAAAAGUUACCAGAUGUGAUUCUCUCUUUCUAAAGAGGGUGUUAGCUACAAUCAUGUUGUAGGCUAGAGCAAAGCUUAAGACAUCUUCUCCUUCUUGAUUCCUGAUGCCAUAGCCAAAGCCCUCAUGCGCCCCUUCAAAACCUGUGUUAGAUGUACCCACGUGGCCAUUGAGGUCUCCUCCUAUGAAGAGCUUCUCACCAAUCGGUACACUCCUAACCAUGUCUUCCAAGCCUUCCCAGAACUCCCUCUUGGUGUUCUCAUUGUGGCCUACUUGCGGGGCAUAUGCGCUGAUAACAUUGAGAACCAAGUCCUCAGCUACCAGCUUGACCAGGAUAAUCCGGUCCCCACGUCUCCUGAUGUCUACCACUCCAUACUUGAGGCUCUUGUUGAUCAAGAUGCCUACGCCAUUUCUGUUUGCAGCCGUCCCCGUGUACCACAGCUUGAAGCCGGUAUCCUCCACCUCCUUCGCCUUCUGUCCUCUCCAUUUGGUUUCUUGGACGCAAAGGAUAUCACACCGUAGAAAAUUUAUCAAAGGAUAAUGUGUAAAAAUUUCAAGAUUUUAUCACAUUCUGAAUUUCCAUAAGAAUUCAAACAAUAAUAACUUUCUAUUUUCGAAUAGCAACAUAUAGACUUGUAAAAUAAGCAUGGUAAAGGCUAUACUUGACAUUUGUAUUGAUGUAAAAGAUAAAAAAACAUUAUUCUAAAUAGCAGCAAGCAGAUAAAAAUAAAAGAAAAUGACACUCCAAGCAAAACACAUAUCAUGUGACGAAUAAAAAUAUAGCUCCAAGUAAUGUUACCGAUAAUGUUGGAGACGAAAGAGGGUGAUAAAUCUCCAACGUAUCUAUAAUUUUUGACUGUUCCAUGUUGUUAUAUUAUCAUUCUUGGAUAUUUUACAAUCAUUUUAUAGUCAUUUUAUAUCAUUUUUUUGGUACUAACCUAUUGACAUAGUGCCCAGUGAUAGUUGUUGUUUUCUGCAUGUUUUUUACAUAGCAGGAAAUCAAUAUCAAACGGAGUCCAAACGCAGCGAAACUUCUUGAGGAUUUUUUUGGGCCAGAAGACAUCCAUUGGGCCAAUAAAGCACCAGGGGGUGCUCCGAGGGGGCCAGCACCCACUAGGGCAUGCCUGGGGCAACAGGCGCGCCUAGGUGGGUUGUGCCCACCUCGGGUGCCCACUGAACCGCCUCUUUGCUCUAUAAAUACCCCAAUAUUCCAGAAACCCUGGGGGAGUCGACAAAAUCAAUUCCAGCCACCGCAGUGUCCAGAACCACUAGAUCCAAUCUAGACACCAUCACAGAGGGGUUCACCACUUCCAUUGGUGCCUCCCUGAUGAUGCGUGAGUAGUUCUUUGUAGAUCUUCGGGUCUGUAGUUAGUUAGCUAGAUGGCUUCUUCUUCUCUCUCUCUCUUGAUUAUCAAUACAAUGGUCUCUUGGAGAUCCAUAUGAUGUAAGCCUUUUGCGGUGUGUUUGUUGGGAUCCGAUGAACUUUGAGUUUAUGAUCAGAUAAAUGUUUUUAUCCAUGAAAGUUAUUUGAGCUUCUUUGUUCUCUUAUAUGCAUGAUUGCUCAUAGCCUCGUAUUUCUUCUCCGGUAUUUGGGUUUUGUUUGGCCAACUUGAUCUAUUUAUCUUACAAUGUGAAGAGGUGCUGUGUGAUGUGUUCGAUCUUACGAUGCUUGAUCCCACUGACAGAAAGGGAAACGACACGUAUGUAUCGUUGCUAUUAAGGAUAACAAUAUGGGGUAUAUUUAUACAUAAAUAGAUCUUGCCUACAUCAUGUCAUUGUUCUUAUUGCAUUACUCCAUUUCUCCAUGAACUUAAUACACUAGAUGCAUGCUGGAUAGCGGUCGAUGUGUGGAGUAAUAGUAGUAGAUGCAGGCAGGAGUCGGUCUACUAAUCUUGGAUGUGAUGCCUAUAUAAUGAUCAUUGCCUGGAUAUCGUCAUGAUUAUUUGAAGUUCUAUCAAUUGCCCAACAAUAAUUGUUUUCCCACCGUUUGCUAUCUUUCUCGAGAGAAGCCACUAGUGAAACCUAUGGCACCCGGGUCUCUUUUCAUCAUAUUUGCCUUUGUGAUCUAUUUUCCUUUGCAUUUAUUUUCAGAUAUCUUAAACAAAAAAUACCUUACUGCAAUAUAUUUGUUCUGCGAUCUAUUCAUCCUAUCUACCAUUUUUACCUCACAUUAUUUGCCUAUCUUGAGGCGUCGUACCCGAAAGGGAUUGACAACCCCUUUUACACGUCAGGUUGCGAGUAUUUGUUAUUUGUGUGCAGGUGUUGUUUACGUGGUGUGAGGAGGUUCUCAUACUGGUUCGAUAACCUUGGUCUCAUCAUCGAGGGAAAUACCUACCGUCACUAUACUGCAUCAUCCCUUCCUCUUUGGGAAAAUACCGAUGUAGUUCUAGCAGACAUCAAAAGGAAUUUCUGGCGCCGUUGCCGGGGACGAUCAAGUCAAGAUAGUCUCUCGGCCACGUGCCAAUUUCUGACACCGUUGUCGGGGAGGAUCUUCAACAUCAACCAGGUUCCUAAUCACAAAUCUCAUCUCCUUGCAAUUUACAUCAUUUGCCAUUUGCCUCUCGUUUUCCUCUCCCCCACUUCACAAAAAUUUGUCGUUUUAUUCGACCUCUUUUUCGUUUGUCGUUUUCUCGUCGAAUCUAUUUUUGAGUGCAAUCUUUUUGUGAAGUCAUCAUGACUCAAGAGAACACCAAGUUGUGUGAUUUCUCAAAAACCAACAACAAUGAUUUUAUUAGCACUCCGAUUGAUCCUCCCGCCACUAGUGCGGAGUCUUAUGAUAUUAAUACUGCUUUGUUGAAUCUUUUCAUGAAAGAUCAAUUUGCCGGUACUCCUAAUGAGGAUGCCGUGUCUCAUCUUAACACAUUCGUGGAAUUAUGCAAUAUGCAAAAGAAAAAAGAUGUGGACAAUGAUGUUGUGAAGUUGAAAUUAUUUCCGCUUUCUUUGCGAGUUCGCGCAAAAAUUUGGUUUUCUUCUUUGCCUCGCAAUAGUAUCGAUUCUUGGAACAAGUGCACGGAUGCUUUUAUUACUAAGUAUUUUCCGCCCUCAAAAAUUAUUUCCCUUAGAACCUAGAUCAUGAAUUUCAAGAAACUUGAACAUGAGCAUGCUGCACAAUCUUGGGAAAGGAUGAAAUUGAUGCUAAGGAAUUCCCCAACUCAUGGGUUAAAUCUUUGGAUGGUCAUACAAUUUAUUUAUGCGGGAUUGAAUUUUGUUUCUCGUAAUCUUUUAGAUUCCGCCGUGAGAGGGGGGGGUACAUUUAUGGAAAUUACUUUGGGUGAAGCUACUAAAUUGCUAGACAAUAUUAUGGCCAAUUACUCACAAUGGCAUAUCGAAAGAGCUCCGACUAGUAAAAAAGUCAAUUCGGUAGAAGAAAUAAAUUCAUUGAGUAAAAAAGUUGAUGCUCUUAUGAAGUUGGUUGCUAAUAAAAGUGCUCCUACUAAUUUUACUGGUAUGACUUUGUCUACUUUGAUUGAGCAAAAUAGUGAUGCCAUAGAUGUGAAUUUUGUCUCACGAAACAAUUUCAAUAACAAUGCUUAUAGAGGUAAUUUUAAUCCUAGGACUUUUCCUAGUAAUUCCUCUAAUAACUAUGGUAAUUCCUAUGGUAAUCCAACCUAUAAUAAUAAUAGAAACACCUCUGAUCUUGAGAGCAAUAUUAAAGAAUGUAUCAAUACGCAAAAAACUUUCAACACUUCGAUAGAAGAAAUGUUGAAUAAAAAUGAUGAUUUGUCUAGAAGUAUUGAUAGAAUUUCUCAUGAUGUAGAAACUCUCAAGAUGAAAAUUUUUGUGCCUAAAGUUGAAGAAUCAAUUAAAGAUCUUUAUGUUUCUAUAGAUGAAAGUAAGAAAAGAACUGCUAUGCUUAGAGCUAAAAGAGAAUUUUUAGAAAGGGCAUUUUCUAGUGAUUACUAUCAUAAAAGUGAUGAAGAUCUUAAAAUGAUUAGUGUUUCUUCUAUUUAUUCUUUGUUUAGUAAAAUUAAGAUUGAUGAAAAAGGGACUGGAGAAGAGUCAACUUUAGUUAGAAGGUGUCCCUAUGAUUCGGAGGGUGAAAAUCUUGUUGAAAAAAUUGAUAAAAGUGGGUUUGAAGAGGUCAAGACUUUAACUAGUGAUGUGCCCACUAUCUUGGAUUACAAAGACUUUAAUUAUGAUAGUUUCUCUUUGGCUGAUUGUAUUUCUUUGUUGCAAUCCCUGAUAAAUUCACCCCAUGCUUAUGAAGAAAAUAAAGCUUUUACUAAACAUAUUGUUAAUGCCAUGAUGAAAGCUUUUGAAGAAAAAUUGGAAUUAGAAGUUUCAAUUCCUAGAAAAUUGCAUGAUGAGUGGGAAUAUACUAAAAAAGUCAAGAUUAAAAUUAUGAGUGUUUUGCUUUAUGUGACUUGGGUGCUAGUGUUUCUACAAUUCUGAAAUCUUUAUGUGAUUUGCCUGGUCUUACCGAUAUUGAAGAAUGCUCUUUAAAUUUGCACCUGGCGGAUUCUACUAUUAAAAAGCCUAUGGGAAGAAUUAAUGAUGUUCUUAUUCUUGCAAAUAGGAAUUAUGUGCCCAUAUAUUUUAUUGUUCCUGAUAUUGAUUGCAAUCCGGCUUGUCCAAUUAUUCUUGGUAGACCGUUUUUGCGUACUAUUGGUGCCGUGAUUGAUAUGAAAGAAGGUGAUAUUAAAUUUCAGUUUCCACUAAGGAAGGGAAUGGAACACUUCCAUAGAACAAGAAUUAGGCCACCAUAUGAAUCAAUCAUGAGGGAAUCUUAUGGAUCUAGAACCAAGGAUGACAAAACUUAGAUCCUACGCGUUAUGCCUAGCUAGGGGCAUAAAAAGAUAGUGCUUGUUGGGAGGCAACCCAAUGAAUAAAAUUUAUUUUUGCUUUUUGCUUUCUGUUCUUGUGUGUUAGCACAAUUAUGCUACUGUUAUGAUUGUGUUUUUUGUUUUUAAAUUAUUGUUAGUUCCAAGCAAGGCCUUUGGGUUGAUUUGGUUGAAAGUUCAUUUGAUCUUGCUGAAAAACAGAAACUUAUGCACUAACGAUAAUAGUUUUAAUAAAUCACAUAAAAGUGCUUUUGAGUUAACUAUUUUUGCAGAAGAUUUAUAUACAAAUUACCCAGGUUUUCCUAAUUUCUCAAGAUUUUUGGAGUUACAUAAGUAUUAGAAAUAUUCAGAUUGCUACAGACUGUUCUGUUUUUGACAGAUUCUGUUUUCUUUGCGUUGUGUGCUUGUUUUGAUGAUUUUGUGGUUUUCUUUGAUGAUUUUUUUUCAUAGAAAAGUUGUAAUACAUUAGAUAUAAUGCAAAAACAAAAUAAUAAUAGAUUUGCAAUAGUACUUAUAGUAGUGGUUUGUUUUCUUAUACUAACGGAUCUCACGAAGGUUUUGUUGGAGUUUUGUGUGAUUGAAGUUUUCAAGUUUUGGUUGAUCUUACGGUGGCUGAAGGAAUAAGGAUUAGCAAAAGGCUAAGCUUGGGGAUGCCUGAGGCACCCCAAGAUAAUAUUCAAAGAAGUAGAAAGCAACUAAGCUUGGGGAUGCCCCCGAGUGGUAUCCCGGCUUUCUUCUAACAACCAUCGGUAUUUUACUUGAAACUAUAUUUUUAUUCGUCACAUAUUAUGAGUUUUGGUUGGAGCAUCUUGUAUGAUAUGAGUCUUUGCUUGUUUUGCUUUGUGUUUUAAGAGUUGAAUCCUUGAUGAACACACCUUUUUGAGAGAGCAAAAAAUUAUGCUAUGCUUGCUCCUAUGCUUCACUUAAAUUUUUAGAGCCAUGGAUUUGCUCUAGUGCUUCAUUUAUAUCUUUUUUUAGCACGGUGCGCUUUGUUAUUUUUGAAGAAAUGCUCUCUUGCUUCACUUAGAUUAUUUUUAGAGAAAGAAAAAAUUAUGCUCAUGUUCUUCACUUAUAUUUGUUUGAGCUUAUCAAAAGCAACAUAUAAAAAUAGUACCAAAGUGAUAGAUAUCCAAGGAGGAUAUAAUAAAAACUUUCAUGAAGAUCAUUGGACAAAAUAAACUUGAUUCUUAGUAAUGGUUUUGAGAUAUGACGAUAUGAUAUGUGAGUCAUGUUGAUGAGUAAUUGUGCUUUAGUAAGAAUAAUUAUGUUAAGGUUUGUGAUUCCCGAUGCAAGCACGAAAGUCGAUAAUUUUGCAAUGAAAUUUAUAUCCUACUUAUGGUGCAUUAUUUGGUGUUACUUGGGCUUAAUGCUUGGGUACGAGAUUUUUCGCUUUUUGGUUUGUCGCUUCUAAAUAUUUAAGCUAGCCUUCAUUUUGCAUAUGAUCACUACUUAUGCAUCCAAAACCCUUUAAACCAGUUUUGCCUUAUGAGUCCACUAUACCUACCUAAAUGUGGUAUUUCCAUGCCGUUCUAAGCAAAUUUGCAUGUGUCAUCUCUAAUUUUCAAAAUAAAUUUCUCUUUUGUGUGCUCUACCGCUCGCGAGGCGGUGAAGGGUGACCAAUAUUUCCAUGCUAGAUGUGUUAUUCUCACGAUGAAUGUUUAUUCACUUGUCAUUGCAAGAGAGUACGACAAAGGUAUUAGGGAUGCCCAGUCCCGAAAUGAAAAAUGAAUUUACUUUAUGUUGUCAAAUAAUAAAUUCCUUGGAAAGUGUUGGUAUGGAGGGCAACCAUGGAUUCGGCUAGCCAUGGAAAGUGAAAGUAAUGGUGGAAAAAGGAAUAAACUUUAUUUUUGUUUGGGAACCGCCUAUGAUGUAUCUAGCAUGGAAAGUGUUGGGAUCUCUAAGUCGUUUUCGUUGGUGGGAAAGUAUGCCUCUCAAAAAUAUUUUUAUCUUUCAAUUGAAGCUUUGAGCUCUGACACCUCUACAAAUCCCUACUUUCCUCCGCGAAGGGCCUUUCUUUUACUUAUGCAAUUUUUAUUUUGAAUUUGAGUCUCCAUCUUCUCUUAUAAAGCACCAACUAAGGGGCAAUAUCAUCGUAUUUGAGCAUUGGGUGUAGCUAAUAUUUGAGUGUGUUUCAUGAAUGGAUCAAUGAUUGAGCAUAAUGGGCUAGUGAUAACUUGCUUUAGUGUUGAUAUUUUGAAAGACAUGGUUGCUUGUUGGUAUGCUUGAGUAUUGAAGUCUUCAUAUCAAAACUAGACUAUUGCUUUGAAUCAUAUAAAAGUCCAAAUGUCCAUGCUAUAAAGAAAAGAAAUGUGAUGAACAUGUUAGGCAACAUUCCACAUCAAAAAUUCUGUUUUUCUCAUUUACCUACUCGAGGACGAGCAGAAAUUAAACUUGGGGAUGUUGAUACGUCUCCAACGUAUCUAUAAUUUUUGAUUAUUCCAUGUUGUUAUAUUAUUCUUGGAUGUUUUACAAUCAUUUUAUAGUCAUUUUACAUCAUUUUUUGGUACUAACCUAUUGACAUAGUGCCCAAUGCCAGUUGCUAUUUUCUGCAUGUUUUUUACAUCACAGGAAAUCAAUAUCAAACGGAGUCCAAACGCAGCAAAACUUCUUGAGGAUUUUUUUCGGCCAUAAGACAUCCAUUGGGCCAAGAAAGCACCAGGGGGUGCUCCGAGGGGGCUAGCACCCACCAGGGCACGCCUGGGGGCCCAGGCGCGCCCAGGUGGGUUGUGCCCACCUUGGGUGCCACCUGAACUGCCUCUUUUCUCUACAAAUACCCCAAUAUUCCAGAAACCCUAGGGGAGUCGACGAAAAUCAAUUCCAGCCACUUUAGAGUCCAGAACCACCAGAUCCAAUCUACACACCAUCACGGAGGGAUUCACCACUUCCAUUGGUGCCUCUCUGAUGAUGCGUGAGUAGUUCUUUGUAGACCUUUGGGUCCGUAGCUAGUAGCUACUGCCUCCGUUCCGAUUUACUCGUUGUGGUUUUAGUUCAAAUUUGAACUAAAACCGCGACGAGUAAAUCCGUUCCGAUUUACUCGUCGUGGUUUUAGUUCAAAUUUGAACUAAAACCGCGACGAGUAAAUCGGAACGGAGGGACUAGAUGGCUUCCGCUCUCUCUCUCUCUCUAUCUAUCUUUCUAUCUAUCUAUCUAUCUAUCUAUCUAUCUCUCUCUCUCUUGAUUAUCAAUACAAUGGUCUCUUGUAGAUCCAUAUGAUGUAAGCCUUUUUGCGAUGUGUUUGUUGGGAUCCGAUGAACGUUGAGUUUAUGAUGAGAUCUAUGUUUUUAUCCAUGAAAGCUAUUCGAGUCUUCUUUUAUCUCUUACAUGCAUGAUUGCUUAUACCCUCGUAUUUCUUCUCCGAUAUUUGGGUUUUGUUUGGCCAACUUGAUCUACUUAUCUUGCAUUGAGAAGAGGUGCUUUGUGAUGGGUUCGAUCUUACGGUGCUUGAUCCCAAUGACAGAAAGGGAAACAACACGUAUGUAUCAUUGCUAUUAAGGAUAACAAGAUGGGCUCUAUGUUUCUACAUAAAUAGAUCUUGUCUACAUCAUGUCAUCAUUCUUAUUGCAUUACUCCAUUUCUCCAUGAACUUAAUACACUAGAUGCAUGCUGGAUAGCGGUCGAUGUGUGGAGUAAUAGUAGUAGAUGCAGGCAAGAGUCGGUCUACUAAUCUUCGACGUGAUGCCUAUAUAAUGAUCAUUGCCUAGAUAUCGUCAAUGAUUAUUUGAAGUUCUAUCAAUUUCCCAACAGUAGUUGUUUUCUCACCAUUUGCUAUUUUUCUCAAGAGAAGCCACUAGUGAAUCCUACGGCCCACGGGUCUCUUUUCAUCAUAUUUUCCUUUUGCGAUCUAUUUUCAUUUGCAUUUAUUUUUAGAUCUAUUAAACCAAAAAUACAAAAAUACCUUUCUGCAAUUUAUUUUCCCCGCGAUCUAUUCAUCCUAUCUACCACUUUUACCUCAGUUAUUUGCCUAUCUUGAGGCGACGUACCCGAAAGGGAUUAACAACCCCUUUUACACGUCGGAUUGCGAGUAUUUGUUAUUUGUGUGCAGGUGCUAUUUACGUGGUGUGAGGAGGUUCUUCUACUGGUUCAAUAACUUUGGUUUCAUCACUGAGGGAAAUACCAACUGUCACUAUACUGCAUCAUCCCUUCCUCUUUGGGGAAAUACCGACGUAGUUCUAGCAGACAUCAAGGGGAUGCCUUCCGGGGCAUACCAAAGCUUAGUUGCUUGGGUCUUCCUUGAAUAUUAUCUUGGGGUGCCUUGGGCAUCCCCAAGCUUAGUGUCUUUCCACUCGUUAUUCUCCUCAUAUCGAUAUCUCACCCAAAACUUGAAAACUUCAAUCACACAAAACUUAACGGAGCUUCGUGAGAUAGGUUAGUAUGAUAAAGACAAAUCAUUCACCUUGGUACUGUCAAGAUAAGAUUCAUAAUUGUUCUCCUACAAUGCCUAUUGUACAUUAUCAUUUGCACAAUUUAUAUCACUUAAUAUAAGCUAUGGAAACACUAAAGCAAGCAAACUAUGCAUUGAAAACAGAAUCUGUCAAAAACAGAACAGUUUGUAAUGAUUUGAAUAAUAACCAUACUUAUAUUACUCUAAAACUUUUGAAAAAUUAGGAAAGCGUAGGAAAUUUGUAUACCAAUAAUCUAUUUAAAACUCAGAAUUUUUCAACGCUCCAGUGAUAUUUCACAAUUCUAUUACUGGGCGCAAAAGUUUUUGUUUUUGCGCAAAAUCAAGUCAACUAUCAUCCACACUAUCCCAAAGGCUUUACUUGGUACUUUAUUGAAAAAAACUAUAAAAGAUGACUCCUAUAGUAUCCUGAUCAUGUGAACACACAAAAAUAGUAGGGUUAAAUAUUGUGUUGUCUCCCAACAAGCGAUUUUCUUUAAUGCAUUUCUAGCUAGGCAUGAUGAUUUCAAUGAUGCUCACAUAAAAGAUAAGAAUUGAAACACAAAGAGAGCAUCAUGAAGAAUAUGACUAGAACAUUUAAGUCUAACCCACUUCCUAUGCAUAGGGAUUUUGUGAGCAAAUAUUUUUUUGGGAGCAAGAAUAACCUAGCAUAGGAAGGCAAAGCAAGUGCAACUUCAAAACUUUUAACAUAAAGAGAGGAAACUUGAUAUUAUUGAGAUAUGUAGAAGCAUAUGUUCCUCUCUCAUAAUAAUUUUCAGUAGCAUCAUGAAUGAAUUCAAUAAUAUAUUUAUGAAAUAAAGAAUUCAUUUAUGAUCCACAAGCAUAGAAAUUUUAUUACUCUCCACAUAAGCAAAUUUCUUCUCAUCCAUAAUAGUGGGAGCAAACUCAACAAAAUAACUAUCAUGAGAUGCUUGAUUUACAUAAUCAAUUUGAGCAUCAAAAUCAUGAUGACAAAUUUGAUGGUUAUCAUUAUUCUUUAUAGCAUACAUGUCAUCACAAUAAUGAUCAUAGAUAGCAACUUUGUUGUCAUAAUCAACUGAAACCUCUUCCAAAAUAGUGUAUUCAUCACAAAAUAAAGUUAUGACCUCUCCAAAUCCACUUUCAUAAAUAUUACAAUAAGAUUCAACACCCUCCAAAAUAGUGGGGUCAAAAUUACCUAGAGUUGACACUCUUCCAAACCUACUUUCAUCAUUGUAAUCAUCAAAAAUAGGAGGCAUGCAAUCAUCAUAACAAAUUUUCUCAUCAAAACUUGGGGGACUAAAAAUAUCAUCUUCAUCAAAUAUAGCAUCCCCAAGCUUAUGGCUUUGCAUAUCAUUAGCAUCAUGGAUAUUCAUAGCAAGCAUACUAACAACAUUGCAAUCAUACUCAUCAUUCAAAGAUUUUACGCCAAACAUUUUAUUGAAUUCAUUUUCUAUCAAUUGAGCACAGUUUUCCGCUCCAUCAUUUUCAAGAAAGACACUAUAAAGAGGAAUAAUAUGAGGCAACCUCAAUUCCAUUUUUUGUAGUUUUUUUAGACCAAACUAGUGAUAAAAUAAUAAACUAAAAGAUUCAAUUGCAAGAUAUAAAGAUAUACAUUUAAGCACUCACCUCCCAGCAACGGCGCCAGAAAAAUGCUUGAUGUUGACUACGCAACAUUUCUUCUUGUAGACUCGUGGUGGGCCUCCAAGCGCAGAGUUUUAUAGGACGGUAGCAAUUUCCCCACAAGUGGAUGACCUAAGGUGUAUCAAUCCAUGGAUGGCAUGGCUGAAGAUUGUCUCUCUCAAACAACCCUGCACCAAAUAACAAAGAGUCUCUUGUGUCCCCAACACACCCAAUACAAUUGUAAAUUGUAUAGGUGCACUAGUUCGGCGAAGAUAUGGUGAUACAAGUGUAAUAUGGAUAGUAGAUAUAUGUUUUUGUAAUCCGAAAAUAUAAAAAUAGCAAGGUAACUAGUAACAAAAUAAGGCCUAGGGUUCAUACUUUCACUAGUGAAAAAUCUCUCAACAAUGAUAACAUAAUUGGAUCAUAUAACAAUCCAUCAAUGCGCAACAAAGAAUCACUCCAAAGUUUCUAUCAGAGAACAUAGGAUGAAAACGUGCAUCAACCCCUAUGCAUAGAUUACCCCAAUGUCACCUCGACAAUCUACGAGUUGAGUGCCAAAACAUACAUCAAGUGAAUCAAUAUAAUACACCAAUGUCACCACGUGUAUCCAUAUGCAAUACAUACAUCAAGUGUUGUCAAAUCCAAUAUUCAAUCCAACAUAACGAAACCUCAAAGAGCAAGACUCAAUUCAUCACAAGAAGGUAAAUAGGGAAGAACACCAUAAGAUCCAAAUAUAUUAACAAAGCUCGCGGUACAUCAAGAUCAUGCCAAAUCAAGAACACAAGAGAGGAAGACCAAACACAUAGAUACUAGUACAUACCCUCAGCCCCAAGGGUGAACUACUCCCUCCUAAUCAUGGUGGCCACCGGGAUGAUGAAGAUGGCCUACGGUGAUGAUUUCCCCCUUCGGCAGGGUGCCGGAACGGGGUCCUGAUUGGUUUUUUGUGGCUAUAGAGGCUUGCAGCGGCAGAACAUCUCAUUUAGGGUUCUUUCUGGGGGUUUGGGUAUUUAUAGGAUUUUUUGGCGUCAGUCUCACGUCAAGGGGGUGCCCGAGGGGCCCACAAGCUUGGGAGGCAUGCCCUAGGGGGCGGGCGCGCCCCCCGGGCUUGUGGCCUCCUCGACCACCUCAUGGUCUAGCUCCGGUACUUCGGGGGUCUCUUUUGGUCCAUAUAAAAUCACCCUUAAAUUUUUAGCCCAUUCUGAUAACUUUUAUUUCUGCACAAAAAACGACACCACGGUAGUUCUACUGAAAACAACAUCUAUCCAAGUUAGUUAUAAUUAAAUCAUACCAAAACCACAUAAAAUUGUUGUAAACAUGGCAUGAAUACUUCAUAAAUUAUAGAUACGUUGGAGACGUAACAAUGCCUAUAUACAUGAUCAUUGCCUUGAUAUUGUCAUAAUUAUGUGCUUUUCUAUCAAUUGCCCAACUGUAAUUUGUUCAACCACCGCAUGCUAUGUGUUCGAGAGAGAAGGCUCAAGUGAAAACUAUGGCCCCGGGGUCUACAUUAAUCAUAUAUAAAAAUCCAAAAUUCCUUAUCUGCAAUUUUAUCUCUUUUAUAUUGUUUUCCAAUUUAUAUAUCUAUCACUAUGAGAUUUGAUCCUUGCAAUUAACGAGUUCAAGGGUAUUGACAACCUCUUGCCCGCGUUGGGUGCUAGUAUUUGAUUUUGUAUGUGCAAGUGCUAUUCACAAGGUUUUGCGUGAUUCUCCUAUUGGCUCGAUAAACCUUGGUUCUCACUGAGGGAAAUACUUAUCUCUACUGUACUGCAUCUCCCCUCCUCUUCGUGGAAAAUCCCAACGUAGCUCACAAGUAGCAGGAAGAAUUUCUAGCGACGUUGCCGGGGAGAAUUCACGUCAAAGUAGUCUCCCAUCAACUUGCCAAUUUUGGCUCCGUUUCCGGGAACACAUCAUCAAAGCCUAUCACUUAUGGGUAAAAAGCCCUUCCGACAUGUGAAGGUUCAAACUAAAAAAAUGUUCUGUCGUCGCCCAAUAGGCUCUCAUUUUCCACUUUCUGUUCUGAUGCAAAGUUAAUUAGCCUUAUGAUUCAUACAAUUUGUGGAAUAAUCAAAGUGAAGUUGUGCUUUAUGGUAUAGCCAUAUAGGAAUAACUACUGCUCUAAGAUGUGAAAAGAACUUCCAAAGCAUCUAAUUAUGCUUGCAAAAGACCAGAUCAAAAUGCAUUUGAGUAUAUUACCAUUUCAGUAAAUGAUGAAAGUCUUAUCUUUUGAUAGGUCGACUAUUUGUUUGCCUAGAUUAAUAGUUAAUCAAAGUAUCACUACAUAUUUAUUGAUUCAGUGCUUAUUCGUCGAAUCAUUCUUCAAGGGAAUCCAUGCCAGUGUGCUUAACCUCACCUCCCACCACUUUCGACCGAGGGUGCGAUCCUUGCCAUAGGCAUCAUCGUUGUCACCGUGCAGGAGAACCUUCCAUUGCUCGAUGCAUCGGCAAUGAUGUUCCUGGAGAGAUGUGAAGCGGCGGGGAAAGGUAACUAGGUACAGGGCGCUACAACAAUGACUCCUUGCAUUGCCAUCGAACGACCCACCCGCUUAGGCGAUGCUCCUGGCUUGCCUGGUAGACAACAUAUAUACCUUGUAAGCAUGUGUUGAGUUACUACUGCAGGCUAUAAAUGUCUUUGUUUGCUAACAUGAGAAAAUCAAUGGACCACCAUCCUUGCUGAUUGAUUCGCGUGCGUGUGUGUUUUGUUUAUCUGAGGCACCAAAGAGGGGGGCGUAACACGAAACAUCAUGUGUAGCAGAUGGCGUUGCACCUCACAUGGAGUGGGUGGUGAAGCACGGGGCCACGACUAUGGCCGAUUUGCUGCUGGAGAACAACGCGAGCCUGAAGGUAGUCGGCGUGAACGGCCACCGGGUAUGGAAUUGUUUUCUCUUCUUUUACCCUAAAAUUGUACUCUCUUUUUGGGUGUUGUUGAAUUUGUUUUCCCUUUUUCCUAACAAACGGACUCUCCCAUUCAUUCAUUGAUAAUGUAGUUGAUUCAACGCCUGAUUGGUCAUUGAUGGGUCGAGGCUUAAGGCUCAUAGGUUUGUGCAAAAUGGUGUAGGUUCAUUUUGCAAAGGUCUAUUUGUCCACAGAAAACUAUUGAAUAAUGCUUGUGUGCGGGAAUUCUGAUUUAGGCACACCUGCCAAUCUGUAGGGCUAUUGACAUCCAAAAUAGUAAAUACAUCGUCUGGAAAAGGAUAAAACCUAAUCUAGGCGAGAUGGUUAACUUUUAUUUACAUUUAGAAACUAAUUUAUUUUCACGACAUGGGGCAGACUAUUAGAACCGAUCUAUAUGUGUGGUAGAGUUACUUUCUUGUCUGCAUCAGCAUUUUAGUUUCGACAAUAAGAUAUUAAGACAACAUUUCUUCUACCUCUUGGAGAUUUUUUAAUGCCGAUGCAAGUGGUCUGAAGAUGUCUUCGUGACCAAAUUUACAAAGUGAUAAGGGAGAUAUGUGAUGGAACAUGUGGAAACGUUUUUAGGUCUUACAAUAUAAAAACACUAAAAUUGCAGACUUUCUAAGGGAGAUAUGUGAUGGGAUGUCAGCUAACCAUUAUUUCAUACAGAGCUCCCCUCAGCCACCCUAACCCUGUCACGACGCUCUAUGAGCACUUCCUCUAAGAAGAGGAGACACUUGUGCAUGCUGUGCAAGGUGAUACACAAGAUUGAGUGAUGGUCUUGUAAGCUCACGGCGAUCAUGGAAGUAGUGCAGUUCCUUCGUACAAGGAGAAGGACGCCGGGGCGCGGGAGUCUAAACAGGACCGGGUGCUUGCGUGUGAGACCCUCAAAGAUGUGCUUAAUCAGCUUGCUCUUGCAUAGGUCGAACACCAAUGAGUGAUUGUGGUGCUAUGUGAAAUACUAAAAUACAGGUGCUCAAGCGGUCGUUGAUUGAUAUUAUGUAGCUUUCCUUUGCAUACGUUAUCAACUACAUAUACAUGUGGCCACAUAUGAUAAUCUGUUUUCAAAUACAUGUGACAAAUUCUUGAAAAAUUGGAUUGUAACAUUGUGCAGAAGAGAGAAGAGAGAAGAGAUAAGAGAGAGACAUGUAGAGCAAGAGAGGGAUAGAGAGGAUGGAGGAAGGGAGAGAGACUGUUGUUUGGUUGUUAUAUUGUAGAGAGACAGAUGGACUGUUCUUUGAUUUUAAUAUUGAAGGGAGCGAGUUUAACAUGACGUAAAAAAACUACAUAGCUUAUGUGUGAGGGGGAGCUAUGUUGGAAGGGAGGUUGUGAGAAGAGGUGGAAAGCCUGUAUUACUAUUGAGGCUGUGGCGCGCUAGCUCAAUGUUGAGGCGGCGGCGCAAGAGGUUGUCAGGGAGAGAAGGAGGCAUGCCAUGCUAUUUGUGAGCUGCAUUGGAAUUUUUCAUAAAGAAGAAGGGUGAAAAAUAUAGUAGUGGAUAGUAUUUUCCUCUGUAGGAAUCAAGGUUAUCGAACCAAUAGGAGAACCAAGCAAAUUCCUAAUAAGCAGUACCAACACACACAAGAACAAAUACUUGCACCUAACACGGGCAAGAGGGUUCUCAAUUAUCUUGAACUUGUUACUUGCAAGGAUUAAACCUGGUAAUGAUAGAUAGAUAAAUUGAAAAGUAAAAUAAAAGAAAAGAAAAUUGUAAUAAGGUAUUUUUGGUUUUAACAUAUGAUAAAAGUAGACCUGAGGGUCAUAGUUUUUAUUAGAGGCUUCUCUCUCGAAACAUAUCAUACGGUGGGUAGACAAAUUAUUGUUGAGCAAUUGAUAGAAAAGCGCAUAGUUAUGACGAUAUUCAUGGCAAUGAUCAUGUAUAUAGGCAUCACAUUUGUGUCAAGUAGACCGAAACGAUUCUGCAUCUACUACUAUUACUCGACCAAUCCACCGCUAUACAACAUGCAUUUUUGGUAUUAAAUUCAUAGCAAACAGAAUAACGCUUUAAGAGCAUCUCCAAUAGAAUAUGUAUAUGCAAAAAUAACUAACCUUCACAUCUCUCAGGGGCAAGGGCCAAAAACACCUCUCCAACAGAUGGUGUAGAUACAAAAAAAUGCAUCUCCACCUCCUGGAGAUGUAAACAACAACACCUCGCGGUGCAAAUUUGCAUCUCCACCUACAGAAGAUGUAAAAUCUCAACCACCCGCCAACUGGCCAACUACCGUUCCAUUCUCUUCCGCGCGACCAGCCGCCGCUCGGCCAACUCUGCCGCUGGCCGAAUCGCACCAAAUCGUCGCCUCCGCCGCCCGCCCGACGGCCGCCGGGCUCAACGUGACUUUGCCCCCCUCCCCCCGCCGUCCUCCGCAGCCUGCCUCACCGGCUCCGAAGUUCCUCCACCAUCGGUCGCCACCAAUUUCCGCCAGCCGAUUCGGCCGCGCCGCCGCUCCUCCGCUAGCCCCCGACCGUCGCCUCCCCUCCCCCAGCCCCCGUCCGUCGCUCGAGUCGCCCUGCCCACCACCCCGCCGCCCGUCGCCACCGCUACGUNNNNNNNNNNNNNNNNNNNNNNNNNNNNNNNNNNNNNNNNNNNNNNNNNNNNNNNNNNNNNNNNNNNNNNNNNNNNNNNNNNNNNNNNNNNNNNNNNNNNNNNNNNNNNNNNNNNNNNNNNNNNNNNNNNNNNNNNNNNNNNNNNNNNNNNNNNNNNNNNNNNNNNNNNNNNNNNNNNNNNNNNNNNNNNNNNNNNNNNNNNNNNNNNNNNNNNNNNNNNNNNNNNNNNNNNNNNNNNNNNNNNNNNNNNNNNNNNNNNNNNNNNNNNNNNNNNNNNNNNNNNNNNNNNNNNNNNNNNNNNNNNNNNNNNNNNNNNNNNNNNNNNNNNNNNNNNNNNNNNNNNNNNNNNNNNNNNNNNNNNNNNNNNNNNNNNNNNNNNNNNNNNNNNNNNNNNNNNNNNNNNNNNNNNNNNNNNNNNNNNNNNNNNNNNNNNNNNNNNNNNNNNNNNNNGACCUCGCCGCCUCCGCGCCGUCCGCCCCGUCGCCACUGCCCGAGCCCGUUGCCCCCGCGUCGUUUGCCCCGUUGCAGCCGCUUCGCCGCCCACCUCCACAUGCCGCCGCUCCGACCUCGCCCGACCUCGUUGCCUUCGUGCCAUCCGCCCCGCCGCUGCCGCCAGACCUCGCCGCCACCUCAAAUGAAGUAGUGGUUGAAAUAUAGUUUUUACAUCUCCAUUUGCAUCUUCUAUUGAAGUAGCUGUUUUACAUCUCUGUUUGGCAUCGUAUGUUGGAAUUGGCCCUUUUUUGGAAAUGCAAAAGGCACUUUUUAGAUAUGCAAACUUUUACAUCUCUUGUUUUACAUCUUCAAAUUUGCAUCUUCUAUUGGAGAUGCUCUAAGCAAGAUGACAUAAUGUAGACAGAUUGAAACCAUGUUAAACCCCGUCGUUACACAAGGCCAUCAAAGGUUAGGAACAGCGCUUUCACUCGAAGGUCCGAAGCUUGGUUAGACUGAAUUUUAGAUAACCACAUAUUUGAAUGUGUUUCUAAAGAAGAAACCAACCGAAGAAUGACAUGUAGAAAAUCCGCUUACCAUUUAUUAUUUUCUCUUGCAACGUCCAAUAUUUUCUACAUGAGUAACAAGAUUACUACACCCACAUCCAAAUCUCUUCUGCAAUUAUCAUGCAGAUCCCAUCAGAUCAUCGACAAGGAGAAGGACGCCGGGGCGCGGGAGUCUAAACAGGACCGGGUGCUUGCGUGUGAGACCCUCAAAGAUGUGCUUAAUCAGCUUGCUCUUGCAUAGGUCGAACACCAAUGAGUGAUUGUGGUGCUAUGUGAAAUACUAAAAUACAGGUGCUCAAGCGGUCGUUGAUUGAUAUUAUGUAGCUUUCCUUUGCAUAUGUUAUCAACUACAUAUACAUGUGGCCACAUAUGAUAAGCUGUUUUCAAAUACAUGUGACAAAUUCUUGAAAAAUUGGAUUGUAACAUUGUGCAGAAGAGAGAAGAGAGAAGAGAUAAGAGAGAGACAUGUAGAGCAAGAGAGGGAUAGAGAGGAUGAAGGGAGAGAGACUGUUGUUUGGUUGUUAUAUUGUAGAGAGACAGAUGGACUGUUCUUUGAUUUUAAUAUUGAAGGGAGCGAGUUUAACAUGACGUAAAAAACUACAUAGCUUAUGUGUGAGGGGGAGCUAUGUUGGAAGGGAGGUUGUGAGAAGAGGUGAAAAGCCUGUAUUACUAUUGAGGCUGUGGCGCGCUAGCUCAAUGUUGAGGCGGCGGCGCAAGAGGUUGUCAGGGAGAGAAGGAGGCAUGCCAUGCUAUUUGUGAGCUGCAUUGGGAUUUUUCAUAAAGAAGAAGGGUGAAAAAUAUAGUAGUGGAUAGUAUUUUCCUCUGUAGGAAUCAAGGUUAUUGAACCAAUAGGAGAACCAAGCAAAUUCCUAAUAAGCAGUACCAACACACACAAGAACAAAUACUUGCACCUAACACGGGCAAGAGGGUUCUCAAUUAUCUUGAACUUGUUACUUGCAAGGAUUAAACCUGGUAAUGAUAGAUAGAUAAAUUGAAAAGUAAAAUAAAAGAAAAGAAAAUUGUAAUAAGGUAUUUUUGGUUUUAACAUAUGAUAAAAGUAGACCUGAGGGUCAUAGUUUUUAUUAGAGGCUUCUCUCUCGAAAUAUAUCAUAUGAUGGGUAGACAAAUUAUUGUUGAGCAAUUGAUAGAAAAGCGCAUAGUUAUGGGGAUAUCCAAUUCUGAGCUCAGGCUCAGAUGACCCUGAAAUCUCCCCCACUCAUUCGCAUGUGGAUCAGCGCCCUGUAAUGUAUUCCAGUUUGUAUUCAGGCAGUAUUGUUUCCGAUCACAGCGCGUGCGCUGGCGCAUUUAUUACGACGGCAAACGUCAACCCGUACGCGGAACAGCGGUAGUGGACACGGCCCAGUCAUUUUUCUGUAUUAGGCUGAGCCGUCCCGAGGUCGCCAGCUAGUUCAUGAGGAGUAUAUGUUCACUCGUUCCCCACACCGAAACCUACACAAUCUCAUCCCCUGUUUCUCAAAACACGCGCGCGCGCGCGCACACACACACAAUCUCGUCCUCAGACCCCACUGCCGUCCUCAACGCCCCUCCUAAUCCCGCAGUUAACAGUGUCCGCGUCCGCAUGGUUUGUCUAGCAGUCAGCACGCUAGUUUGCAAACUAGCUAUAUACGAUUUCAGUGUCCAUGUGCAAACUAGCUUGAACAUACAUCAAUGCUAGCUUUGUAUCAGUUUCACAUUCAGAUUUCAGUCCUGAACAAUGUUAAAACUACAUUAAGACUUGCAGCAAUGAGCAAAUCUUCGGUCCAUUUGAUACAGUGUUAGAUUCAGUUUAUCAAAUGCAGCAACGAGCAGUUUUAAAACUAACAUAAUUUCAGUGAGCAUACAUCACUGCUAGCUUAAACAUCAGAUUCAGGUUUCAGAUUUCAUCCUGAACAUGUGCUUGAACACCAGAUUUCAUAGUUGUGAACAUACAUUCAGAUUCUCCUGAACUUUGCGAUGAACAACAAGUCAAUGGCAGCCCCUUAUUUAUGAUGAAUUUGAUUCUCCUGAACAUCAAAUUUUAGUGCUGAACUUUUCCAAGUCAAUGGCAGCUGCUCUGAAGACCUGUCCUGAAUAUUAGAACAAAGUUUCAGGAAUUUACUUUGUAGCUUAUAUCAAGCUUUUUCAUGCCGAUCAUUUGUUCCAAUAACAUAUAUGCAGCUAGCAAACAUGCGGACAUGCACGUGUACUGAACUGGGACAUGCAGCUAGCGAGCACUGAUGAAAAUAAGAUAUUGUAUAGAUUGAUACUACUCCCUCCGUUCACUUCUAUAAGACGUCCUAGACAUUUAGGACAACACUUAAAACAGUUUAAUUUCAGCUGCCUAAAACGACUUACAAAAGUGAACAGAGGGAGUAAUAAUCUUCACCAAUUGAGAUUAAUGGUUAUAUAAAAAUUAAGAGUGGCAUGUACUAGUACUAAAAAUGAAGGAUAUUUGGUUUGGUCCUUCCACUAAAACAAGCAGGUAGCAUGGGGACUUUAGUAUCUAUUAACUUCAAUUCUCUGGAGAUGCCACUUACUCUUUGUUGCUAAGUAGGUCUUGACUAGACACAGUUUUCCUAUCUCUGGGCUGCCACAAAAAUGACCCUUUGCUGAAAUGAGAAUACUAAAAAUAAAUCAUUACACAUACUGACAUGCAGUACCAAAAUGCUUCAGGUGGCAUUAUGCAUACUGUCCAUGUGCAUAAGAGUAAGAAAAUGUCAGGUAGUGUUACUUGUUAGGGCCACAAGCAUGUUUCUUGAGUAUGAAAAUGAGCUUACCGCUGGCAAGUCCAAUAUUAGCAGCGCAUCAUCAUCAUCUCCUGCACCCACCUUCUGCUGUGAUAAACCAGUGAUGGCUUUUUCUUCAUUGUAACAGUUGCUGUUUCAGAAGAAAAUCAGUGGAACAGUUGCUGUUUCAGGGAUAUUGUGUGAGCGGGUAAAGGGAUUUGACAGUUUCCAAAUAUCAGGUACCUAUAUAGUACCUUGUAGUAGAAGCACUUGACUAGGUUCAGAAUUCACAAUUUUCUUACAACAUGGAGCAUUCCCUGGUGGCAUUUGCUGCUUAUAAACUACAGAGAAUACUGAAAAUAAAUCAUGCUAAGUAUCAGACCUAUAACCACCUCCUUUCUCGCCUGAUCCUUGUCCUCAUCCUCCCACGCCGGAUUCCUAUUCUCUUCCUCCGUUGGCGUCUUGUGCUUGUCCACCGCAGCACCGGACAUCUUGCUCGACUGGCAGCAACGAGCAGCGAGUAGUGGUGGCACCGGCGGAGACACAAAGACGACGCAUGUGGGGACAAGCGGGAUGCCAGGACUGCGACGAGCGGGGAGCAGGGGCAUACUUGCGAAUUGACUGCUCUAAAGCACUCAUCCUAUAUGGACACGGCGUUCUGUCCGGUGGCGCA